This 65113-nucleotide long non-coding RNA is filed under the name Triticum aestivum (bread wheat). Its description in RNAcentral is "long non-coding RNA (TAES_LNC025412)". Lineage: Eukaryota; Viridiplantae; Streptophyta; Magnoliopsida; Poales; Poaceae. The record is from RNAcentral.
UGAAAAGCUGAGGGCGGCUGUUGAUAGCUAGAUCCGCUGGUGUGUGGCAAGCACUGACGGGGCGCAUGGUUGAUGGUUCGGUAGUGCUACUCGUAGCGUGCAUGCAUGGUUCUGUGGGCGCUAUACGCCGCGCGUACGUACGUUUGGAGAACUCGAUUUGUUUGUUGUGUUUGUCGCUUAAUUACGUCGUUAGGUCAAUCUCUAUCGGUCGUUCGUGUUAAGUUCUUUGUAUCUGUAGUAGUGGAGCAUGUUCUUGAGGCAUAUGAAUAAUGCUAGAUGUACGUGUCAGCUUGUGCCGUGGUAUGCAAUGAUGAAAUGAAAUGGAGUAUUAUUGUACUAGUAAUCUUUUGUUGGUUUACUUGUUAAUUACGAGCUUGACUACCAUUUGGUUGGAACAGCAAACUCGCAUUGUGUUUUGGUCGGAGUAUAUUGCUAAGCUCAGUAGUGUCGAUUGGCUGAAUGAAACUUGACGAUCUAGACAAGUUUUUCUUAAGUCCUCAUCACCAUUGGAGAUUUCCUAGCUGAAGUGCAUCAACAGAUAUCUUGAACGGUACUGGAGUAAAAAAAAUUGAAGGGAAAAAGAAAGAGAUGUCUUUAGAUGACACGAGUUGGAAGCCCAAUUAACACGGCCCAGUUAAUUAGCUACUCCCUCCGUUCGCAUCUAAAAAUUACCCCCUCUGUCUCAUAAUAUAUGCAAAAUUAUCUUAUAUUAUGAGAUGAAGGAAGUAAUACUGUACUAGUAUAAAUUAAGACCAAGACAGAGGGUGAAUAAAACACCACUGCUCGGCAAUAGUGAGAAGGAAAAAUAAAUUAUUAUCAAAACUGAAAAGAAAGAGCGCUAGCUAGCUUUGAAGUUACCACAUGGCAUUGCAGGUUGCAGCACGUACAGGCAGUACUGCUGUCGAUGUAAAUCAGCUGCAGGCUGUAGGGGUAGGGGUGGGAGUAACUAUUCUCGCAUUUAUGUACAUUACCUCAUUCUACGUAUAAGGAGUAGUAGUCAUGCCUCUGUAUCCAAACCGCUAUACAUACAACACUUGGGCCCAGUUCUUUUGUCAGAAUCUGGGAAUUCUCCCAGAAUCCGACUCUUACCAAGCUUCUCUCAGAAUUUUGAGCCCAGUUUGUUUUACAAUCCUAUCUAAUUAGACCCUAACUAGAUAGGAUUGUAAAACAAAUGUGGCUCAAAGAUUUUGGGGAAGCUGGAUAGGGGUCGGGUUCUGAGAGAAUCCUCUGAUUCUGGCAAAAUAACUGGGCAUUGUUAUUCUACCUUCGUACGACAAGAAAUCCAACGGCUUACUGCAUUUUGCCUCUAUAGGUGUGGAUUUUCCUUUCCAACAAAAACAAAGUAUGUAAAAAGACGACAUAUACCAACUGAGCUGCCCCGCGUCGUCCACGUGGGCGACACAAGCGGCCUGCAGAUCCAUUUUUUCGGCGAGCUUCUGCCUAAGCGUCCUCUCAUCGUUGCUGCCGUCGCCGCCGGGUUUGCCUGUGUGGCCGAUGGCUGUUCGUGUUGCUAUUCGACGAGGUGUGGCGAUGUAUAGGUAAUGGCUUUGAUGCAGUACAGGUGGUCAUGAUGUAGCAGCAAACAGUUCGUUCUAGGGCACGGGCGGCUGCGCGCCUUCCUAAUCUUUCACACCGUCGGGUUGCAGCAAGCGCCCAUGUGGCGGUGGAAAGGAAAGGGAGCAACACCGCCAUGUCCUUCAACUUGGAGAGCCGGUGUGCUCUAGAGGAAGUCGUCACCUGCGCCGCCGGCUGGCAUGUGUGGUGACCAUGUAGCAGAUGUUGCCACCGUCGCAAGCGAUCUGGCCUGCGCGCACCAUGCUUGGUUGGUUGGCGCUAUCUUUGUGGCCGUGUCAUCGACUCGACGGUAGGCGCCGGAAGGUCGGAGGGGCUUCGACCUUCGGAUCCGGUGAGGUUCGCGUUGAACAUGGGAGAACUGGUAGAAGAUCAAGACAAAGACUUUCAGAGGGUAGCCUACAAGGCAAGGUUCAUCACAACCUACUCAACUAAGACAAAGCCCAAAAUUGCUUGUGGUUGCACAUGGAAGCAACUAUUCAUGAAACCGGUUGGUCUUUUUAAGCCUUAACGGCUGUCCACUAGUGUGCAAUGCCAUAGGUGAAUCUUUUAAGAAAUCACAUUCUCCAUGAUGCUAAUUGUACCUCACCACUUUAUAAUUACUAUUCCAUCCACGUACCACGAAUUUAGUUGGUCUUCCUUACUACAUUAUCAUUCAUAAAUUCCCACGAAUUACACUUCACCGAAGUAUCCGCCUACUUCAGCAAAUUAAGCAAACUACAACGACGACAGACAAGUAAUUAGAACUCGGACCUACUUAUUGAACUACAGUGGGAUCAUACUUGCAUAUUUAGGAUAUAUAAAGAUGCUCAUACGUACUACUCAAAAAUAUACUAAAUGCUUAGAAAAGAUGUAGGUAAAUGGACAUGCACGAAAGAAUGUGACUUGCCUUGGUGCCGGUGAUGAUACUCUAAUUCAUUAAGUAAGCGGCUUCGCACUCCAAACAAUCUAUCAUAGAAUGAAACAAAUUUGUAAACAAUUAUAAUUAAGCAUGCAAAUAAAAUUACUUGCAAAGAUAGCAAACAAAACUCAACAAAACAUAUUAUUCCCUUUGAUCCAAAUUAAUCGACGCAACCUCUAUACAAUGUAAGUAAGAUAUUGUAUAGAGGUUACGUCAAUUAAUUUGGAUCGGAGGGACUAGUAUAUAUAGCCUUAGCUAAUAUAGGGUAUGUGCAGAAGUGCAGCUAUAAAAGCGAAAGGCAUAAAAGAUACAUCAUAUACAUGACAUAGGAAUGAUUUUGAUGUGUACUAUUAACGGCUUAGUAGAUAGGAUUUGAUCAGGCUUCCAUCAUGCAAACAGACACAACUAAAUUGGAUCUCCAGAUUGCAAGAUAUGGCUAAAAUAAUAUAUAAAUUUGAAUUUGCAUUGAUCACAUUUGAAUAAUUAAAAAUGUUAAACUAAUAGGUCAUAAGCACUCCAAGACUACCAAUUUGCAAAAUGUUCGUCUUCUUUGGAGCUACAGUUGAAAAGUUAGAAUGCUAGAAGUUUCGUGGGAUUUUCUGCAAAAUAGUGUGACACGUGGCAGCAUCAGACUAGUUGAUACCGAUUCAUGGCUAAAUAAGAUAGUCGUCCUAUUUAAAUGAAAAUGGACAGACCAGAUCAAAAGAUACCGAUUCACGCUCAAACAGAAUAACAACCGUUGGAUUUAAGUGCACAUCUAGGGCCAAGUUCAAACAACAAUUUGGCAGAAAUAAAUUCUAAUUUGCACAAUCUAUUUCUAAACAGACGAAUGAGAAUGAGAUGGGGCGGUAGUGGACAGUGGCGGCCAUGGAGAAGACAAGUGGCACGACGACUCGGGUCAAAUGUGGCAUGGUCUCCGACGGUUGUCAGGGUUAAAGUUGUCGCAGUCAUCACGGCGGUGUGGUUGGUGAUCUGGACGGGUGUGGAGUGCUCGGCGGUGCUCUGGUGUGGUUGGGUGUGCACUAUUUAGACGAUGUGGUGUUCCAUGGACAAAAACAGUAUGCCAAAACGACGCGGAGCAGCAAGGCAAGAAAAGAGAGAAAGAGAUGAUCAUAAAACUAACGACCCUCGAUGCCCAUACUGUUUUGAGAAAGGAAUUAGGCCCGGGGCCUAAAAUGGUCGCGAUCUGUUUGGUGUGUUACUGGGCUGAAACACUGUUCCGGUCUAGUUAGGAUAGGAUUUCAUAAUAAAAUUAGUCUAGAAAUUGAUUUUGGCUCAAAUAAUAGUCUAAUAUAUAUAUUUUCAGAAAAUACCAGAAAUUUGCAAAAAAUAAUACUCAUAUAGAGCCUAGAAAAAUUAUUCCCAACUCAAAGUGCAAUUUUGUAAAUUCAUUUUAUUUUAUACAGCUAGUUUGGACCAAAUAAUAAUUCUAUUUGUAGGGUUUAUUUAAUUCCCAUGACUGGAUUUAUCCACUCCAAAUGACAUCUUAACAUUUUCUCACUCUUUUCAUAAGGAAAAUAAGUGAUAUUAUCUUCUCUCUUUUAGUUCCUUGAGUGGAAAAAAAAUAAGGCAGCCCGGUGCAUGUAGCUCCCGCUUGCGCAAGGUCUGGGGAAGGUCCGGCCACUUUGGGUCUAUUGUACGCAGCCUUUCCCUAUAUUUCUGCAAGAAACUGUUUCCAUGAGUCGAACCCGUGACCUCUUGGUCACAAGGCAACGCACCAAGGCUCCCCUUGGUUGAAGAUAGUUUAAAUUUAAAUGUCCUAGAAAGUCCAAAUAUGCAUUUAAAUAAUAAGAUGUAAAUUAAUGCUUUUAUAAACGUCCUAAUAAUUAAUAAAAGUGGGAUGUUACAUCUUGUGUGGUCUUUGUGGUUGUUGCUAGAAACCCAUGGUGCUUUGAUGCCAUGGAUCGAUUCAUCAUCCACCGGAAUAAUGAUGAUGGGACGAUGUCAUUUUAGUGAUCGAAUCAUCGUUGAAAGUAAAUGAUGAGAUGGUCAUGUUUGGAGAUGCAGUUCGCCAAAGUGAAAGAAAACUUACUUCGUAUGCCCUUGUUCAGGUAUUGAAUACUUGCAGUGCAACACUUAUUGCUUCUACAAAACUCAUAGUUAGGUCUUUUGCCAUCCAUAUCCAUUUCAAGUGUCACACUGAUUUAAAUGAUCUUAUAUUUCUUUACAGAGAGAGUACCUUUUAGGAAGUGAUCUAAAUGGUCGUAUNNNNNNNNNNNNNNNNNNNNNNNNNNNNNNNNNNNNNNNNNNNNNNNNNNNNNNNNNNNNNNNNNNNNNNNNNNNNNNNNNNNNNNNNNNNNNNNNNNNNNNNNNNNNNNNNNNNNNNNNNNNNNNNNNNNNNNNNNNNNNNNNNNNNNNNNNNNNNNNNNNNNNNNNNNNNNNNNNNNUCUACAUUUUCAAUUCAUUUCCCUAUGAUUUAUACACAUUACUUUAUAUUUGGAGCUUAUAAAUUCUCAAUUUAAGAAAAUAAGUCUCAAAUGUGAAUCACUAAAAGAAAAUUAAUAGAACAAGCACAUAAACGACAAUUUUAAGAAAAUGUUUGUUUGCUUGCCCUAAUUCAGACAGCAUUUAAAAUCUCAAAUGUUAAAUCAAAUGCGCAUGUCCAUUGACCCUGCAAGUUGAAGGCACAUUCUCUACUAGUCGAGAAGUCCAUAUCACCUCUUGAAAUCAUUUUAGGGUUCAAAUUACAAUCUCGGACUUUGAUUUGGUUCAUUUAACCAUGUGAACUCUGAGAACCGUUCACUUUACAUCCCACUUCUCGCGGGUUUGUGCUAGUCUGCUGUGCCAAAUCACAUAAUUUCUCGCUCCUCUCAGCUAUAUGCCUAUGUCAUCUCUUUUUUGUCUCCUUGUAAUAACCAAAACUAAGAUAGGUUUUCUCAAGUUGUAUGCUAAUUUUAUGAACAUUUUUUAAAACCUAAAUCAGGUACAUAAAACUUUGACAAAAUUAUAGUGAACGAGGAAUAGUUCAGUGACCAAAUGUUAUUCAGAUAAACUUAAUAUUUUAGUUUCAUGUUUAAAUGUUGGGUUUAAAAAAAGCAAACUGCACACAAACAAGCAAAUAACCAAUGACCGACCAUAAUUCAGUGAACAUCUGGUCAAAUAAAGAGAAAAAUAUUUAUGCAACAAGUGGAAACAUGGAACUGCAUGGUAGAUUAGCAGGGUAACUUGACUAAAUUAGGAAGUAAUAUAUCUACUAUUUUAAAAUUAAACCAAGUCAGAGUAACUUGACUAAAGGGAGAAAACAUGACCUUCAUUUCAGAGUAUUAUGCUGGACUUUCAGAGAAAACAACUUAGGUCUGAAAAAAGAGGGAGGUGCAGACUUCCAGAUAUCAUUUAGUAACUUUCAUUAGACUUCAAAAAACAUUUAUAUCUAAUCGCAGGAAAACGUGGUGAAAAAUCAUAGACCUCUAAUUUUAACUGAACUAGUUUCAUAUACACCUAAGAAAACCACCGUAUCGUGUGGUCUUACAGAACUAUCAAAAGCAAGAAGAUUCUCUGGGCAUCAAAAUAUUGUGAAAGACUUCUGCAUUAACCCUUGUGUUAGUACUGUGAAACAUGGCUGGUAGCACUAAAUUGUCAAGCUCCUGUAGAGAUGGUUCAACACUACUUAGGAACAUUAGAAAUAGUAAAACUAAUCAAUUGAUUUUGCCUUAGAUGUAAUAAUACGCCUUUGAGAAAAAUGGUUGAACUACUUCUAGGGUUUUGUGUCUGCACACAAUUGCGACAUUAAAUGAUCCAUGUAGACUUGCUAAUAGGUAUGAAUAAUAUCCUAAGGUGAGAUUGACUUGCAAUCCUGCUUGGUACAGUACAUACAUACUGCAGCAAAUACAAAAAAUAUCUCUGUAAAUAACAACUAAAUCCUGACUUUGCCUGACAUGCACCAAGUUACGAAGUUUGUUUUGAUGUGUUCCUGUAGACGGUAGGGCUGCAUAUAACCUGUUAUGAACAAUACUUUCCCCGGUUUUUUACAUGCUUGCCUUCAUUACUACUCCCUCCGUAAAGAAAUAUAAGAGCGUUUAGAUUCCUAAAGUAGUGAUCUAAAUGCUCUUAUAUUUGUUUACAAAGGGAGUAUGUUCCUUCUGUAUCAAAAUGAUUAAUUUAUAAUACAAGGGGUACUUUCAAAUGUCAACUUUUAUUGGACAUUUUAUUCCUCGAGGAUAUGCAGGUGCAUUAACAAACUGCAAUCUUCCAAUUAGUUAUUGUCAUAUAGUACAAAUGUGUUUCAUUCAAAGUAAUAGCCUGAUAUAGGCCAAUUGCUCAAUACUGUGAUGUACCCAACAAUGUUUAUAUAACAGUAUAUAUGGAUGAUGUGGUGGUACUCAAUUAUUCCAUAGGUUAGGUUGAUUACUUAUUUCAUUUUAUAUUUAUAAAAUGAUUAAAAGCUUACCGAUUGGUCAACUGCUUAUGGAUUCAGUCUCAACUUUUCAGGUAAGUAAAAUAAAAGCGGAAACCAAUUGGAGGAUGCAAGAACAGAGAAGUACAUGACAAUAGAAAUUGAACACCUUCCAGUGCAAGAAUUAAUGUUUCAAAUGCAGCCGUAUUGUUUUACAACACUCAAGAGUUCGAAAAUGUGGCAUUCAUUCUCCCGUUUCGAAUUUUAUAUUAUGAUGAAAUGUUCCCAUAUAAUCACAUUAACACACUGCUGGCCCACUCUUAAUUGUUACGGCAGAUAUCAUCAUUGAAGUGAGUAGCAUACACUAGCCUCCACAUGUAGUGUAGUAAUUAAUACCUAUGACAAAAUUUUCGAACAGACAAUUAAACACUCAUAUAUAUUGUUUAGCAACAAUACCAUUUGCACUAGUGGGUCUCUGGUAACGGGAAUCAGGACACCGUCGGGACGGGCAUGAUGGAACCCGACGGCUCUGGCGACGCUCCGUACGACCCGGCGGCUCCACCGCCGCCCCAGCCCCCGUCCCCUCCCUCGGACCCUGGCCAUGCGCUGGUGUCCCUCCCGCCCGCUCCGUCGUCGACUCCCCCCGCCGCCCCGUCGCGCGUGGUCUGGGCGGACCUCGCCAAGGCCGACGACCUUGUCGCAGGGCGCCCCGUCGUUUGGCGCGACCGCGUUCCCCCCAAGGCCCCUGCCCGGCCGCCUCGGUCUGAUUCUGUCGGUGGCCUUACUCCCAGGUGUGGGAGUUCGGCCGCCCGCGGGUCUGCCCGGCGCCGGCGCCAACCCUCAGGCGUGUUUCGGUCGGCGGCAGGGCAAGGUGCUCCCUUGGGCUCGGGGUCUCACCCUCGGGGGCACCGCUCCGGCGGGUGGCGUGUCGUUGGCCGCGCCGACCGCGGCCUCGCGCGUUCUUCAUGGAUGGCCACUGCUCCGGCGCCGCCCUCCCCUGCUCCGGCCUGCGCACUGACGGCGUUCUCGGCGGAGCUCUCGUCGGUGGUUUUCCGGCGGUCCCCCUUCCGCCCUUUCAUCUCGGCUUUCAGCGNNNNNNNNNNNNNNNNNNNNNNNNNNNNNNNNNNNNNNNNNNNNNNNNNNNNNNNNNNNNNNNNNNNNNNNNNNNNNNNNNNNNNNNNNNNNNNNNNNNNNNNNNNNNNNNNNNNNNNNNNNNNNNNNNNNNNNNNNNNNNNNNNNNNNNNNNNNNNNNNNNNNNNNNNNNNNNNNNNNNNNNNNNGGCGACCACCAUGGCAGCGCUCGGGGAAACCCUCGCCCCUCCCCUGGUAUCCCGGGAUUCUCCUACCGGGCCGCGCUCGUCUCGGGCCGUUCCGUGGGCCGCCUCCUUGGCGCCUCCCCGCGGGCCUCGGCUUCUGGGCCGCCGCGUGAUGUGCGGGCCGUUGGCCCCUGUGUGGGCCGGUCCCCUGGACCGUCCUCACCCUUCGCGGCCCAGCCAUGCCCCUGGGUGGGCCUUGGCCCGAUCCGGCGCUCCAUCUCGCCACCGCUAGGGUUCCCCCGCCAACCAGUCCCCAACCCGACGCCUCCCGCUCCCCCCAACGAAGUUCCACCCGCCGCCCCUAGCUCCCCCCUGCUCGUCGGCGCCACCGGUCCCCUUGCACCCUCCCCUCCUCCCUCGCCGGCCAUGACCCGGGAGUGGGGCGACGGCGCGGGACGCCCCAAGCGCAGGGCAAACGACCGCCGCGCCCCCCCUCGACCCUCUCCUGAUGGUCUCCGGCGGGAGGCUGACCUCAGGCAGGAGCUCGACUCCCGCCCGGCUCGGCGCUCCCCAGCCCGCGACGCUCGCCGCUCUCCCCCCACCCAGCCCGUCGGUCCCCUGCUCGGGACGACCGCCGCUCCCGGUCCCCGGCGCGCCGCUCGCCCCCUCGGGCUGCCUCGCGGGAUCGUGGCUGGUCACCGGCUGGAGGGGGGGGGGGCUCGGCAGUCCUCCCGGCGGCGGUCCCCCUCCCCGUCGCGCCAUCGGGACCGAUCCCCAUCUCCUCCCCGACAGCAGUCCCUGACCACCGCCAUCACCGCCCCGGCCGCCCGCCGCUACCAGCCCCCUCACUCCCAAGCUGCAUUCCCGCCGUCCAAUGGGGGCAAUGGGGACCGGGGGCGCCAGGGCACCCAAAAGAAGAAGAACGGUCCCCCUCGCCCCCGACCGCCUUCACCUCCGCUGGUGCGGUGGCUCCACCUUCGGGCUCCACCCCGCCUCUGAGGGUCCGCCGUGCUUCAAUUCCGGCCUGACCGGGCACUUCCAGGUGGCAUGCCACAAACCUUCGAGGUGCUACCUCUGCAAGGAUGCCGGGCACCCCGUGAUUCUCUGCCCGGACCGCCCGGUGACGGAGGAGAUCAUGAUGUACGGCCACGGCAUCGAGGACAUGGGCUUCUUCCGCAUCGAGGUCCCGGAGAUUCCCCCUUCCCCCUCGCUCCUGGCUCUCGUGACUGUCGUGGGUGCGGGCGUCGCCAUCCUGGAGCUGAUCGAGGCCAAGCUCAACCACUUGUGCAGGUGCAAGUGGGACUGGCAGGUGACCUCCACCGCUGCCAACGCCUUCAAGGUGAUCUUCCCCGACGCUCUGAGCAUGGGACUCUGUACCCACAACAACAACAUCACCUUGGCCCUCAACGGGAUUGUGGUGAACAUCUUAGAGCCAAGGUGGGAUCCCAAGGCCGUGGCUGUUCUGGACACUGUGUGGCUCCUCAUCGCCGGCCUGCCUGAUGUGGCCCGGUCUGAGUGAGUCAUCCGCAGUAUGUCCAAGAUCCUGGGAAAGGUGGUGGUGGUCGAUGAGCUCUCUCUACGCAAGGAGGAGGAGGUCUGGGUCAAGGUGAAGUGCCUGGACUCCUCCAAGCUCCACGCCACGAUUCAGGUCUUCUUCAACAACGACAGCUUCGACCUCAAGAUCUGCCCCGAGCCUCCGAACCACAUCGGCCGCCCCCGAUUCUCUGAUGACAGCCACCUGGGGGCGGUCCAGCUCACGCCGACGACUCCCACCACUAGCGGUCCCGCCACUCCCCCCUCGACGACCCUGAGGAUGACGAGGACUUGUCAAAGCACUCCCGCUCCCUGUCCCGCGAGCCCGCCAACCCACCUUCGGGUCAUGGCUGUUCCGAGGCGGGACGUGUUGGAAAUAUGCACUAGAGGCAAUAAUAAAUUGGUUAUUAUUAUAUUUCCUUGUUCAUGAUAAUCGUUUAUUAUCCAUGCUAGAAUUGUAUUGAUAGGAAACUCAGAUACAUGUGUGGAUACAUAGACAACACCAUGUCCCUAGUAAGCCUCUAGUUGACUAGCUCGUUGAUCAAUAGAUGGUUACGGUUUCCUGACCAUGGACAUUGGAUGUCGUUGAUAACGGGAUCACAUCAUUAGGAGAAUGAUGUGAUGGACAAGACCCAAUCCUAAGCCUAGCACAAGAUCAUAUAGUUCGUAUGCUAAAGCUUUUCUACUGUCAAGUAUAAUUUCCUUAGACCAUGAGAUUGUGCAACUCCCGGAUACCGUAGGAGUGCUUUGGGUGUGCCAAACGUCACAACGUAAUUGGGUGGAUAUAAAGGUACACUACAGGUAUCUCCGAAAGUGUCUGUUGGGUUGGCACGAAUUGAGACUGGGAUUUGUCACUCCGUGUAAACGGAGAGGUAUCUCUGGGCCCACUCGGUAGGACAUCAUCAUAAUGUGCACAAUGUGAUCAAGGAGUUGAUCACGGGAUGAUGUGUUACUGAACGAGUAAAGAGACUUGCCGGUAACGAGAUUGAACAAGGUAUCGGGAUACCGACGAUCGAAUCUCGGGCAAGUAUCAUACUGAUAGACAAAGGGAAUUGUAUACGGGAUUGAUUAAGUCCUUGACAUCGUGGUUCAUCCGAUGAGAUCAUCGUGGAGCAUGUGGGAGCCAGCAUGGGUAUCCAGAUCCCGCUGUUGGUUAUUGACCAGAGAGUUGUCUCGGCCAUGUCUGCAUGACUCCCGAACCUAUAGGGUCUACACACUUAAGGUUCGAUGACGCUAGGGUUAUAGGGAAAGUAUGUACGCGGUUACCGAAUGUUGUUCGGAGUCCCGGAUGAGAUCCCGGACGUCACGAGGAGUUCCAGAAUGGUCCGGAGGUAAAGAUUGAUAUAUAGGAAGUAUGGUUUUGGCCACCGGAAGUGUUCCGGGCAUCACCGAUAGUGUACCGGGACCAUCGAAGAGGUCCGGGGGUCCACCAGGUGGGGCCACCAGCCCCGGAGGCCUACAUGGGCCAAUAGUGGGAAGGGACCAGCCCCUAGGUGGGCUAGGGCGCCUCCCACCAAGGCCCAAGGCGCCUCCAAUAGGGGAAGGGGCAAACCCUAGGGAAGAUGGGCCCUAAGGCCCACCCUAGGUGCGCCUCCCCCUCUCCCCCUUGUGGCCGCCACCCUAGAUGGGAUCUAGGGCUGCCGCACCUCUUGGGGUGGGAACCCUAGGUGGGGGCGCAGCCCUCCCUCUCCCCAUAUAUAUAGUGGAGGCAAAGGGGCAGCCCAACACACGAUUUAAUCUCCCUGUUGGCGCAGCCCUACCCCUCUUCCUCCUCGUCUCUCGUAGUGCUUGGCGAAGCCCUGCUGGAGUCCCGCGCUCCUCCACCACCACCACGCCGUCGUGCUGCUGCUGGAUGGAUUCUUCCCCAACCUCUCCUUCUCCCCUUGCUGGAUCAAGGCGUAGGAGACGUCACCGGGCUGUACGUGUGUUGAACACGGAGGUGCCGUCCGUUCGGCACUAGGGUCAUCGGUGAUUUGGAUCACGACGAGUACGACUCCAUCAACCCGUUCACUUGAACGCUUCCGCUUAGUAAUCUACAAGGGUAUGUAGAUGCACUCUCCUUCCCCUCGUUGCUAGAUUACUCCAUAGAUUGAUCUUGGUGAUGCGUAGAAAAUUUUGAAUUUCUGCUACGUUCCCCAACAGUGGCAUCAUGAGCUAGGUCUAUGCGUAGUUACUAUGCACGAGUAGAACACAAAGUAGUUGUGGGCAUCGAUAUUGUCAAUUAUCUUGCCGUUACUAGUCUUAUCUUGAUUCGGCGACAUCGUGGGAUGAAGCAGCCCGGACCAACCUUACACGUACGCUUACGUGAGACCGGUUCCACCGACUGACAUGCACUAGUUGCAUAAGGUGGCUGGCGGGUGUCUGUCUCUCCCACUUUAGUCGGUUCGGAUUCGAUGAACAGGGUCCUUAUGAAGGGUAAAUAGAAAUUGGCAAUUCACGUUGUGGUUUUGGCGUAGGUAAGAAACGUUCUUGCUAGAAACCUAUAGCAGCCACGUAAAAAACUUGCAACAACAAUUAGAAGACGUCUAACUUGUUUUUGCAGCAAGUGUUUUGUGAUGUGAUAUGGCCAAAGGAUGUGAUGAAUGAUAUAUGUGAUGUAUGAGAUGAUCAUGUUCUUGUAAUAGGAAUCAUGACUUGCAUGUCGAUGAGUAUGACAACUGGCAGGAGCCAUAUGAGUUGUCUUAAUUUAUUUAUGACCUGCGUGUCAAUAUAAAGGUCAUGUAAUUACUUUACUUUAUUGCUAACCGUUAGCUGUAGUAGUAGAAGUAAUAGUUGACGAGACAACUUCAUGAAGACACGAUGAUGGAGAUCAUGAUGAUGGAGAUCAUGGUGUCAUGCCGGUGACAACGAUGAUCAUGGAGCCCCGAAGAUGGAGAUCAAAAGGAGCAAAAUGAUAUUGGCCAUAUCAUGUCACUUUUUGAUUGCAUGUGAUGUUUAUCAUGUUUUUGCAUCUUAUUUGCUUAGAAUGAUGGUAGUAAAUAAGAUGAUCCCUCAUUAAAAUUUCAAGAAAGUGUUCCCCCUAACUGUGCACCGUUGCGAAGGUUCGUUGUUUCGAAGCACCACGUGAUGAUCGGGUGUGAUAGAUUCUAACGUUCGAAUACAACGGGUGUUGACGAGCCUAGCAUGUACAGACAUGGCCUCGGGACACAUGCGAAACACUUAGGUUGACUUGACGAGCCUAGCAUGUACAGACAUGGCCUCGGAACACGGAGGACCGAAAGGUCGAGCAUGAGUCGUAUGGUAGAUACGAUCAACAUGAAGAUGUUCACCGAUGAUGACUAGUCCGUCUCACGUGAUGAUCGAACACGGCCUAGUUGACUCGGAUCAUGUAAUCACUUAGAUGACCAGAGGGAUGUCUAUCUGAGUGGGAGUUCAUAAGAUGAACUUAAUUAUCCUGAACAUAGUCAAAAGGUCUUCGCAAAUUAUGUCGUGGCUCGCGCUUUAGUUCUACUGUUUAGAUAUGUUCCUAGAGAAAAUUUAGUUGAAAGUUGAUAAUAGCAAUUAUGCGGACUAGGUCCGUAAACUGAGGAUUGUCCUCAUUGCUUCAUAGAAGGCUUAUGUCCUUAAUGCACCACUCAGUGUGCUAAACCUCGAACGUCGUCUGUGGAUGUUGCGAACAUCUGACAUACACAUUUUGAUAACUACGUGAUAGUUCAGUUAAACGGUUUAGAGUUGAGGCACCGAAGACGUUUUGAAACGUCGCGAAACAUAUGAGAUGUUUCGAGGGCUGAAAUUGGGAUUUCAGGCUCGUGCCCAUGUCAAGAGGUAUAAGACCUCCGACGAUUUUCUUAGCCUGCAAACUAAGGGAGAAAAGCUCAAUUGUUGAGCUUGUGCUCAGAUUGUCUGAGUACAAAAUCAUUUGAAUCAAGUGGGAGUUGAUCUUCCAGAUGAGAUAGUGAUGUUUCUCCGAAGUCAUUACCACCAAGCUGCUAGAGCUUCAUGAUGAACUAUGAUAUAUCAGGGACAUAUAUGAUGAUCCUUGAGAUAUUCGCGAUGUUUGACACCACAAAAGUAGAAAUCAAGAAGGAGCAUCAAUUGUUGAUGGUUGGUGAAACCACUAGUUUCAAGAAGGGCAAGGGCAAGAAGGGAUACUUCAUGAAACAGCAAAUCAGCUGAUGCUCUAGUGAAGAAACCCAAGGUUGAACCCAAACCCGAGACUAAGUGCUUCUGUAAUAAGGGGAACAGCCACUGGAGCAGAAUUACCCUAGAUACUUGGUAGAUGAGAAGGCUGGCAAGGUCGAUAGAAGUAUAUUGGAUAUACAUUGUGUUAAUGUGUACUUUACUAGUACUCCUACUAGCACCAUGGUAUUAGAUACCGGUUCGGCUGCUAAGUGUUAGUAAACUCGAAAUAAAAGGCCGCGGAGUAAACGGAGACUAGCUAAAGGUGAGCUGGCGAUAUGUGUUGGAAGUUUUUCCCAAGCUUGAUGUGAUCAAGCAUCGCACGCUCCCUCUACCAUCGAGAUUGGUGUUUGCGUUGAGAAUAGACAUGAUUGGAUUAUGUCUAUCGCAAUACGGUUAUUCAUUUAAGGAGAAUAAUGGUUAAUCUGUUUAUUUGAAUAAUACCUUCAAUGGUCUUGCACCUAAAAUGAAUGUUUUUUGAAUCUCGACCGUAGUGUGAUACACAUGUUCAUGCCAAAAGAUAUAAGAUAGUAAUGAUAGUACCACCUACUUGUGGCACAGCCACGUAAGUCAUAUCGGUAUAAAACGCAUGAAGAAGCUCCAUGUUGAUGGAUCUUUGGGCUCACUCGUUUUGAAAAAUUUGAGACAUGCGAACCAUGUCUAUUGGUGUAUAUGCAUGAAGAAAAUCCAUGCAAAUGGACCGUUUGGACUCACUUGAUUUUGAAUCACUUGAGACAUGCAAAUCAUACCACAUGGGCAAGAUGACUGAAAGCCUCGUUUUCAGUAAAAUGGAACUAGAAAGCAACUUGUUGGAAGUAAUACAUUUUGAUGUGUGCGGUCCAAUGAGUGCUGAGGCGUGUAGUGGAUAUCGUUAUGUUCUUACUUCACAGAUGAUUUGAGUAGAUGUUGAGUACAUUUACUUGAUGAAUCACGAGUCUGAAUUAUUGAAAUGUUCAAGUAAUUUUAGGGUGAAGUUGAAAGAUCGUCGUGACAAGAGGAUAAAAUAUCUAUGAUAUGAUCAUAGAGAUGAAUAUCUGAAUUAUGAGUUUCGCACAGAAUUAAGACAUUGUGGAAAUUGUUUCACAACUAAUACAGCCUGGAACACCAUAGUGUGAUGGUGUGUUCGAACAUCAUAACUGCACCCUAUUGGAUAUGAUGCAUACCAUGAUGUCUCUUACCGAAUUACCACGAUAGUUUAUGGGUUAGGCAUUAGAGACAACCACAUUCACUUUAAAUAGGGCACCACGUAAUUCCGAUGAGAUGACACCAUAUGAACUAUGGUUUAGAGAAACCUAAGCUUUCAUUUCUUAAAAGUUUGGGGCUGCGACGCUUAUGUGAAAAAGUUUUAGGCUAAUAAGCUCGAACCCAAAGCGGAUAAAUGCAUCUUCAUAGGACACCCAAAAUAGUUGGGUAUACCUCCUGUCUCAGAUCCGAAAGCAAUAAGGGAUUGUUUCUAGAAUCGGGUCCUUUCUCGAGGAAAAGUUUCUCUCGAAAGAAUUGAGUGGGAGGAUGGUGGAGACUUGAUGAGGUUAUUGAACCAUCUCUUCAACUAGUGUGUGGCAGGGCACAUGGAGUUGUUCCUGUGGCACCUACACCAAUUGAAGUGGAAGCUUAUGAUAGUGAUCAUGAAACUUCAGAUCAAGUCACUACCAAACCUCGUGGGAUGACAAGGAUGCGUACUACUUCAGAGUGGUACGUAAUCCUGUCUUGGAAGUCAUGUUGCUAGACGACAAUGAACCUACGAGCUAUGGAGAAGCGAUGGUGGGCCUGGAUUCCAAAAUGGCUCGAGGCCAUAUAAUCCGAGAGAGGAUCCAUAAAUGAAAACAAAGUGUAGACUUUGGAAGAACUACUUGAUGGUCGUAAGGCUGUUAGGUACAUAUGGAUUUUAAAAGGAAGACGGACAAUGAUGGUAAGUAUCACCAUUAAGAAAGCUCGACUUGUCGUUAAGAUGUUUUCCGACAAGUUCAAGGAGUUGACUACGAUGAGACUUUCUCACUCGUAGCGAUGCUAAGAGUCUGUUGGAAUUAUAUUAGCGAUUACUGCAUUAUUUAUGAAAUAUUGCAGAUAGGAUGUCAAAACAUUGUUUCCUCGAUGAUUUUCUUGAGGAAAGGUUGUAUGUGAUACAACCGGAAGGUUUUGUCAAUCCCGAAAGAUGCUUAUAAGUAUGCAAAGCUCCAACAAUCCUUCUAAGGACUGGAGUAAGCAUCUCGGAGUUGGAAUGUAUGCUUUGAUGAGAUGAUCAAAGAUUUUGGGUGUAUACAAAGUUUAUGAGAAACUUGUAUUUCCAAAGAAGUGAGUGGGAGCACUAUAGAAUUUCUGAUGAAUAUAUGUUGUUGGCAUAUUGUUGAUCAGAAAUGACGUAGAAUUUCUGGAAAGCAUAUAGGGUUAUUUGGAAAGUGUUUUUCAAUGGAAAGCCUGGAUUAAGCUACUUGAACAUUGAGCAUCAAGAUCUAUAAGGAUAGAUCAAAACGCUUAAUGGUACUUUCAAAUGAGCACAUACCUUGACAUGAUCUUGAAGGUGUUCAAGAUGGAUCAGUCAAAGGAGUUCUUGCCUGAGUUGUAAGGUAUGAAGUUAAGACUUAAAGCUUGACCACGGCAGAAGAAAGAGGAAGGACGAAGGUCGUCCCCUAUGCUUUUGUCAUAGGCUCUAUACGGUAUGCCAUGUUGAGUACCGCACCUGAUGUGUGCCUUGCCACAUAUCUGGCAAGAGGGUACAAAGGUAAUCUAGGAGUAGAUCACCAGAUAGCGGUCUAAAUUAUCCUUAGAGGAAUAAGGAUAUGUUUCUCGGUUAUGGAGGUGAUAAAGAGUUCGACGUAAAGAGUUACGUCGAUGCAAGCUUAACACCUAUCCGGAUAGCUCUGAGUAGAGAUACCGGAUACGUAUAAUGGAGCAACAAUUUAGAAUAGCUCCAAGUAGAACAGUUAUUUGAAAUGGCUCCAAAUGUAGCGUAGUAGUUGCAUCUACAAGAUGACAUAGAAAUUUGCGAAGUACAUACGGAUCUGAAUGUUGCAGACCCGUUGACUGAAACCUCUCUCACAAGCAUAACAUGAUCAAACCCAGAACUCUUUGGGUGUUAGUCACAUGGGGAUGUGACCUUGAGUGUUAAUCACAUAUCGAUGUGAACUGGAUUAUUGACUCUAGUGCAAGUGGGAGACUGUUGGAAAUAUGCCCUACAGGCAAUAAUAAAUUGGUUAUUAUUAUAUUUCCUUGUUCAUGAUAAUCGUUUAUUAUCCAUGCUAGAAUUGUAUUGAUAAGAAACUCAGAUACAUGUGUGGAUACAUAGACAACACCAUGUCCCUAGUAGGCCACUAGUUGACUAGCUCGUUGAUCAAUAGAUGGUUACGGUUUCCUGACCAUGGACAUUGGAUGUCGUUGAUAACGGGAUCACAUCAUUAGGAGAAUGAUGUGAUGGACAAGACCCAAUCCUAAGCCUAGCACAAGAUCAUAUAGUUCGUAUGCUAAAGCUUUUCUAAUGUCAAGUAUCAUUUCCUUAGACCAUGAGAUUGUGCAACUCCCGGAUACCGUAGGAGUGCUUUGGGUGUGCCAAACGUCACAACGUAACUGGGUGGCUAUAAAGGUACACUACAGGUAUCUCCGAAAGUGUUUGUUGUGUUGGCACGAAUCGAGACUGGGAUUUGUCACUCCGUGUAAACGGAGAGGUAUCUCUGGGCCCACUCGGUAGGACAUCAUCAUAAUGUGCACAAUGUGAUCAAGGAGUUGAUCACGGGAUGAUGUGUUACGUAACGAGUAAAGAGACUUGCCGGUAACGAGAUUGAACAAGGUAUCGGGAUACCGACGAUCGAAUCUCGGGCAAGUAUCGUACCGAUAGACAAAGGGAAUUGUAUACGGGAUUGAUUAAGUCCUUGACAUCGUGGUUCAGCCGAUGAGAUCAUCAUGGAGCAUGUGGGAGCCAGCAUGGGUAUCCAGAUCCCGCUGUUGGUUAUUGACCGGAGAGUUGUCUCGGCCAUGUCUGCAUGACUCCCAAACCUGUAGGGUCUACACACUUAAGGUUCGAUGACGCUAGGGUUAUAGGGAAAGUAUGUACGCAGUUACCGAAUGUUGUUCGGAGUCCCGGAUGAGAUCCCGGACGUCACGAGGAGUUCCAGAAUGGUCCGGAGGUAAAGAUUGAUAUAUAGGAAGUAUGGUUUUGGCCACCGGAAGUGUUCCGGGCAUCACCGGUAGUGUACCGGGACCACCGAAGGGGUCCGGGGGUCCACCAGGUGGGGCCACCAGCCCCGGAGGCCUACAUGGGCCAAUACUGGGAAGGGACCAGCCCCUAGGUGGGCUAGGGCGCCUCCCACCAAGGCCCAAGGCGCCUCCAAUAGGGGAAGGGGCAAACCCUAGGGUAGAUGGGCCCUAAGGCCCACCCUAGGUGCGCCUCCCCCUCUCCCCCUUGUGGCCGCCACCCUAGAUGGGAGCUAGGGCUGCCGCACCCCUUGGGGUGGGAACCCUAGGUGGGGGCGCAGCCCUCCCUCUCCCCCUAUAUAUAGUGGAGGCAAAGGGGCAGCCCAACACACGAUUUAAUCUCCCUGUUGGCGCAGCCCUACCCCUCUUCCUCCUCGUCUCUCGUAGUGCUUGGCGAAGCCCUGCUGGAGUCCCGCGCUCCUCCACCACCACCACACCGUCGUGCUGCUGCUGGAUGGAGUCUUCCCCAACCUCUCCUUCUCCCCUUGCUGGAUCAAGGCGUAGGAGACGUCACCGGGCUGUACGUGUGUUGAACACGGAGGUGCCGUCCGUUCGGCACUAGGAUCAUCGGUGAUUUGGAUCAUGACGAGUACGACUCCAUCAACCCGUUCACUUGAACGCUUCCGCUUAGCAAUCUACAAGGGUAUGUAGAUGCACUCUCCUUCCCCUCGUUGCUAGAUUACUCCAUAGAUUGAUCUUGGUGAUGCGUAGAAAAUUUUGAAUUUCUGCUACGUUGCCCAACAGGACGCACCUGAGUUUCCGCCACUGACCUCGCGGUGGCUCUCCGCCUGGCCACCCCGCCGGUCGCACUCUCCGCCUCCAUCGGAGUCGGCCAGUGACAUCUCCAGUGUGGGCCUGCUCGUCGUGCCGCCUUCGUUGCCGUGCUCUCCCUCCACCGACUCCGCCCUUCACGCCUCGCCAUCGGGCCCGGACCCCCCGUCUCCCCUGGUUUGACCUCCCCGGUCCCCACGGGUGGCGGCGGGUGCACUCCCAUCGGCGUGCCUUCUCCGACCCUCCCACUCGCGGGGGACGCGGCCGGCGACAUCCUGGAGCUCGUCGCCCCACUCCCCUCGCCGGUGGACUCCGACGUCCGCCUCGCACCGCCUGCUUCCCCGACCGCGGCGGUGGCCGUUGUUGUGACCACUCGGGCCUCUGCUCACCCUCCUUCGACGGUGGCGUAUGCCAGGCGGCCCCGCUCCACCUCGCCGCCGGUGACGGCGUCCCGCCGCAGCGCCCGCCUCGAUGCGACCUGCCCGACGGACUCCUCGGCUCCGUCCAUCUCCGAGCGUGCGGAGCUUCGGGCGGCGGUCCGGAACCUCGAGUCAGGUGUGGAUCCCGCCCUUCCCAGUUCUUCCAGUUGUUCCUUUUCCGUGCUUGAGGCGGUUCCUCUUGGCCACUUCGCCAAGGUGGCCACUGACUCGAUCAUCAUCUUCAGGGGGAGGUUGGUCCCCCCUUAAAUCAUAUCACGACCAUUAGGUCUCGUGAGAUCUUAGAUGGCAAGCUGGCUGAGACUCGGGCGCGCUUGCUUUGGCCUCCCAAGGAAUCGUCCGCUACCCCCGCGGUUCGCGUUCCUCCGGUGGCCGAUGGGGUGAUCCGUGGACGCACCCGCUCUCGCGCUGCUGCUCUCCACAUGCAAAGCGCCUCCCGUGUCCUAGGUUCAAGCAGCCCCCCAAAGGGGGCUUAGAUGCGGGCCCUUUUCUGGAACAUCCACGGCUUCGGCCAUGAUGGCCGUCACCGCCAACUCAUCGAGUACAUGCGAGACGAACACAUUGACAUCAUUGCCAUCCAGGAAACCAUGCGCACCGUGUUCUCCCUCCACGAGCUCUAAUGUCUUAGUUCCCACCUCUUCGCCUGGCAUUGGCUCCCUUUAGUGGGACCACAGGCCAUUCUGGCGGCAUCCUUUUAGGGGUAAAGGAUGCCACCUUUGAGGUGGGUGGCAUGGACCGGGGUGAAUUCUUCCUUAGUAUGGAGAUCUUCGAGCGUGCUCUUAACUUCAAAUGGGAGGUCGUGAUUGUGUAUGGACCGGCGGACCACCGGCGCUCCCCAGCCUUCCUGGCGGAGCUACAUCUGAAGAUCUCCAACUCCCUCCUCCCAGUUGUAGUGGGCGGAGACUUUAACCUCAUCCGAUCCCUAGAUGAGAAGAAUAAUGACCGGAUUAACCUCCCCCGGAUGCAGUUAUUCAAUGACUGGAUCGCAGAGCUGGGUCUCUGUGAGCUAGAUCGGACGGGUGCCAGGUUCACUUGGACAAACCGUCAGGUUGACCCGACGCAAUCCGUCUUGGAUCGUGUCCUAGUUUCCCCGGAGUGGGAAUUAUGUUGCCCCCUGGCCUCGCUUCGUGCGAUUACCCGGAUCGGGUCUGACCAUGUCCCUCUCCUCCUCUCCACCGCUGACGAGCGCCCCCCACCCCGCCACGAUUCCGGUUCGAGCUCUUCUGGCUUAAUCAGGUCGGCUUGCGGGAGGCUGUCGUCGCUCGCUGGAUCUCCGCUCGCUCUUCCCCUCAUCGCGCCAUGUCCGCAGUCGACUCGUGGCACUUCUGUGCCAAGCUCGCCCGCCAAUUCAUGAAGGGUUGGGGUGCUAACCUUGGCCGGGACCUUCGAGAGCGCAAAAAGGCCCUCCUGCUGGCUAUCCAAGCCCUGGAUGCCCGUGCCGAGACGUCCAGGAUCUCCCCGGAUGAGUGGAUGCUGCGAUAUGACCUUGAAGACCAGAUCUCAACCAUUUACACGGAUGAAGAGGCCUACUGGCGACUGCACGGUACCCAAUGGUGGGUGCUUCGGGGUGAUGCCAACACCGCCUAUUUCCAGGCAGUGGCGAACGGCCGGCGGCAUCGAAACUCCAUCCACUGCUUGUGGGAUGGAGACACGCCUCUCGUUCGCCCCUCGGCCAUCCGUGCCCAUGUAGACGGCUUCUAUAAAGCCCUAUUUACCCCACCCCUCGGGGUGGGGCUAGUCUCGCCCCCGACAUUUGGUCGGGUGAUCAAUUGGUCUCAGUUGAGGCCAAUGCGGCAUUAGUGGCCCCCUUCGCCAAGGACGAGGUCCUCGCGGCUAUUAAAGGGAUGAACCCCUCCUCGGCCUCAGGACCGGAUGGCUUGCCUGUAACGUUCUUCAAAACGUUCUGGCCGACCAUCAAGCCGGAGGUCAUGGCCCUAUUUGAGGAAUUCUACUUGGGCGCCAUGGAUCUUGGGUGUCUCAACUAUGGUAUCGUGACCCUCAUCCCCAAGGUCCCGGGCGCCUCCGACAUCCGCCAGUUUCGUCCAAUCACAGUGAUUAAUGUGAUAUUCCGGAUCCUGGCCAAAGGGUACACCAAUAGGAUGACCCUGCUCACUGACGCGAUUACCCAUCCCAACCAAUCCGCCUUCAUACAAGGCCGAUUUAUUCUGGAUGGGGUGCUGGUAUUCCACGAAGUCCUCCAUGAGGUUCGGAUGAAACGCCAUCGGGUGGUCUUUCUGAAGCUAGACUUCCACAAAGCGUACGACAUGGUCUACUGGCCCUUCUUGUGGGAAGUGUUGCUUUGCAAGGGCUUUGAUGACCGUUGGGUGACUCGCGUCAUGCAGCUUGUCUCCUGUGGCCGGACCGCUAUGAACAUCAACGGUGACAUUAGGCCCUACUUCCCCACCCUCUGUGGGCUCCGUCAGGGUGACCCGUUCUCGACAUUUCUGUUCAACAUGGUGGUUGAUGCCCUAGCAUCCAUCCUUGAUAAGGCCAAGGAUGCUGGCCAUAUUCGUGGCAUCGUCCCCCACCUAGUCAGAGGGGGAGGGGUCUCCCUCCUUCAAUAUGCGGAUGAUACCAUAAUAAUGGUGGAGGGCUCCGUCCAAGACAUUGCUAACCUGAAGUUCCUCCUCCCGUGCUUCCAACAGAUGUCGGGCCUGACCAUCAACUUUGAUAAGAGCGAAGUGAUGGUUCUCGGGUUCCCCCCGGAGGAAGCACGGGCUAUUGCGGACCGGCUAAAUUGUCGGUUGGGUUCUUUCCCCACGACCUACCUGGGGAUCCCCAUUAGUGAUUCACGCCUCACCAUGGCGGAUUUUUGCCCCACGGUGACCCGUAUGCAACACCGCAUUGAGCCCUGGAAAGGGCGCUGGUUGUCGAAGGUUGCUCGCGUGAUCCUUAUCAAGUCUUCCCUUGCCAGCCUUCUUUGGUUCCUCAUGAGCUUCUAUAGCCUCCGUGAGACCCUUCAUCAAGAGAUCGCCAAAUACCAAUCUAGAUUCUUCUGGGAUGGGGAGGGGGAUAAGCAGAAGUACCAUAUGGUAAGCUGGCCCGAUAUCUGCAAACCCAAGGACCAGGGUGGUCUUGGGAUCUUGUCCUCCCGACGCAUGAACAUUGCCCUCCUCACCCGUUGGCUCUGGCGCAUUGCCAAUGGCAAUGGAGGUCUUUGGCUCACCAUCAUCCACAACAAGUACCUUCGAGGACAGCCUCUUGCAUUCUGUCAGCGCUCGGGCGGCUCCCAGUUUUGGCAGGCCGUCGUCCAGCUGCUACCUAUGCUUUGCAUUGGCACGUCCAUCUCGGUUGGUACUGGGUCCUCAACCCUGUUCUGGUUUGAUCGGUGGAUUGGCGACACCCCCCUGGCCGCACGAUUUCCGGAGCUCUUCGCCAUUGCAGUUGACCCUCGUGUCUCUGUCGAGACGACCCCUAUUGACUUAGGGCGCCUCGCUUUCCGCCGCCCCUUUGGCCCUCCUAAAGUUGCCUCUUGGGAUGCCCUCCUUCAGGACAUCCCCUCCUCCCUAUGGACGGCGCUGUCACCCCGGACGCCAUCUCUUGGCAUCUGGAACCUUUCGGCUACUUCUCCACCAAAUCCCUCUACGCGGCCAUCGCCCCUCGAUGGCCCCCGAGCCCUUUAGUUUGAUUUGGGACAUCCGCCUGCCCCUGAAGAUCAGGAUCUUCCUGUGGCAAUGGAUCCGAGGCCGCCUCUCAUCUGGUGUGGAGGUCCUUAAGAGUAAUGGACCUGGGGAUGGGAUGUGCCCCAUGUGUGACACGGUGGAGGAUGCUAACCACAUCUUCUUCUCGUGCUCCACGGCUCAGUUCCUUUGGUCCUGUUUCCGCGAGACGGUUGGGGGCCAGUGGUGCAACACCAACUUCCAUGACCUGCUUGCGUCACCUGCUCGCUAACAUCGGCACCUGCAAACUGCUUUUGGAAGAAUCUGUGAGUCACGGGGACUCAGCAAUCUCACACCCUUGCGAUCAAGACUAUUUAAGCUUAUAGGUAGGGUAAAAGGUAUGAGGUGGAGCUGCAGCAAGCGACUAGCAUUUAUGGUGGCUAACAUACGCAAAUGAGAGCGAGAAGAGAAGGCAAAAGCAUGGUCGAACAACUAUGUUCAAGAAGUGAUCCUAGAACAACCUACGUCAAGCAUAACUCCAACAUCGUGUUCACUUCUUGGACUCCGCCGGAAAGAGACCAUCACGGUUACACACGCGGUUGAUGUAUUUUAAUUAAGGUCAACUUCAGGUUUUCUACAACUGGACAUUAACAAAUUCCCAUCUGCCCAUAACCGCGGGCAUGACUUUCGAAAGUUCAGUCCCUGCAGGGUGUCCCAACUUAGCCCAUCACAAGCUCUCAUGGUCAACGAAGGAUAUUCCUUCUCCCAAGACAAUCCGAUCAGGCUCGGCAUCCAGGUUACAAGACAUCCUCGACAAUGGUAAAACAAGUCCAGCAACACCACCCGAAUGUGCCGACAAAUCCUGAUAGGAGCUGCACAUAUCUCAUUCUCAGGUCACACUCAGAUAGGUCAAGCUACGAGUAAAACCAACCCUCGAGUUUCCCCGAGGUGGCCCCGCAGGCUGCCCAUUUCGGACCAACACUUAGAGAAGCACUGGCCCGGGGGGUUAAAAUAAAGAUGACCCUUGGGUCCGCGAAACCUAAGGGAAAAAGGCUAGGUGGCGAAUGGUAAAACCAAUGUUGGGCAUUGCUGGAGGAGUUUUAUUCAAGGUGAACUGUCAAGGGGUUCCCAUUAUAACCCAACCGCGUGAGGAACGCAAAAUCUGGGAACAUAACACCGAUAUGACAGAAACUAGGGCAACAAGAGUGGAACAAAACACCAGGCAUAAGGCCGAGCCUUCCACCCUUUACCAAGUAUAUGGAUGCAUUAAUUAAAUAAGAGGUAUUGUGAUAUCCCAACAAGUAAACAUGUUCCAACAAGGAACAACAUCUCCCCUUGGUUGAAGAUAGUUUAAAUUUAAAUGUUCUAGAAAGUCCAAAUAUGCAUUUAAAUAAUAAGAUGUAAAUUAAUGCUUUUAUAAACGUCCUAAUAAUUAAUAAAAGUGGGAUGUUACAUCUUGUGUGGUCUUUGUGGUUGUUGCUAGAAACCCAUGGUGCUUUGAUGCCAUGGAUCGAUUCAUCAUCCACCGGAAUAAUGAUGAUGGGACGAUGUCAUUUUAGUUAUCGAAUCAUCGUUGAAAGUAAAUGAUGAGAUGGUCAUGUCUGGAGAUGCAGUUCGCCAAAGUGAAAGAAAACUUACUUCGUAUGCCCUUGUUCAGGUAUUGAAUACUUGCAGUGCAACACUUAUUGCUUCUACAAAACUCAUAGUUAGGUCUUUUGCCAUCCAUAUCCAUUUCAAGUGUCACACUGAUCUAAAUGAUCUUAUAUUUCUUUACAGAGAGAGUACCUUUUAGGAAGUGAUCUAAAUGGUUGUAUAUUUCUUUACCGAGGGGGGGGGGNNNNNNNNNNNNNNNNNNNNNNNNNNNNNNNNNNNNNNNNNNNNNNNNNNNNNNNNNNNNNNNNNNNNNNNNNNNNNNNNNNNNNNNNNNNNNNNNNNNNNNNNNNNNNNNNNNNNNNNNNNNNNNNNNNNNNNNNNNNNNNNNNNNNNNNNNNNNNNNNNNNNNNNNNNNNNNNNNNNNNNNNNNNNNNNNNNNNNNNNNNNNNNNNNNNNNNNNNNNNNNNNNNNNNNNNNNNNNNNNNNNNNNNNNNNNNNNNNNNNNNNNNNNNNNNNNNNNNNNNNNNNNNNNNNNNNNNNNNNNNNNNNNNNNNNNNNNNNNNNNNNNNNNNNNNNNNNNNNNNNNNNNNNNNNNGUAGUUCUACAUUUUCAAUUCAUUUCCCUAUGAUUUAUACACAUUACUUUAUAUUUGGAGCUUAUAAAUUCUCAAUUUAAGAAAAUAAGUCUCAAAUGUGAAUCACUAAAAGAAAAUUAAUAGAACAAGCACAUAAACGACAAUUUUAAGAAAAUGUUUGUUUGCUUGCCCUAAUUCAGGCAACAUUUAAAAUCUCAAAUGUUAAAUCAAAUGCGCAUGUCCAUUGACCCUGCAAGUUGAAGGCACAUUCUCUACUAGUCGAGAAGUCCAUAUCACCUCUUGAAAUCAUUUUAGGGUUCAAAUUACAAUCUCGGACUUUGAUUUGGUUCAUUUAACCAUGUGAACUCUGAGAACCGUUCACUUUACAACCCACUUCUCGCGGCUUUGUGCUAGUCUGCUAUGCCAAAUCACAUAAUUUCUCUCUCCUCUCAGCUAUAUGCCUAUGUCAUCUCUUUUUUGUCUCCUCGUAAUAACCAAAACUAAGAUAGGUUUUUCUCAAGUUGUAUGCUAAUUCUAUGAACAUUUUUUUAAACCUAAAUCAGGUACAUAAACUUUGACAAAAUUAUAGUGAACGAGGAAUAGUUCAGUGACCAAAUGUUAUUCAGAUAAACUUAAUAUUUUAGUUUCAUGUUUAAAUGAUGGGUUUAAAAAAGCAAACUGCACACAAACAAACAAAUAACCAAUGACCGACCAUAAUUCAGUGAACAUCUGGUCAAAUAAAGAGAAAAAUAUUUAUGCAACAAGUGGAAACAUGGAACUGCAUGGUAGAUUAGCAGGGUAACUUGACUAAAUUAGGAAGUAAUAUAUCUACUAUUUUAAAAUUAAACCAAGUCAGAGUAACUUGACUAAAGGGAGAAAACCUGACCUUCAUUUUAGAGUAUUAUGCCGGACUUUCAGAGAAAACAACUUAGGUCUGAAAAAAGAGGGAGAUGCAGACUUCCAGAUGUCAUUUAGUAACUUUCAUUAGACUUCAAAAAACAUUUAUAUCUAAUCGCAGGAAAACGUGGUGAAAAAUCAUAGACCUCUAAUUUUAACUGAACUAGUUUCAUAUACACCUAAGAAAACCACCGUAUCGUGUGGUCUUAUAGAACUAUCAAAAGCAAGAAGAUUCUAUGGGCAUCAAAAUAUUGCGAAAGACUUCUGCAUUAACCCUUGUGUUAGUACUGUGAAGCAUGGCUGGUAGCACUAAAUUGUCAAGCUCCUGUAGAGAUGGUUCAACACUACUUAGGAACAUUAGAAAUAGUAAAACUAAUCAAUUGAUUUUGCCUUAGAUGUAAUAAUACGCCUUUGAGAAAAAUGGUUGAACUACUUCUAGGGUUUUGUGUCUGCACACAAUUGCGACAUUAAAUGAUCCAUGUAGACUUGCUAAUAGGUAUGAAUAAUAUCCUAAGGUGAGAUUGACUUGCAAUCCUGCUUGGUACAGUACAUACAUACUGCAGCAAAUACAAAAAAUAUCUCUGUAAAUAACAACUAAAUCCUGACUUUGCCUGACAUGCACCAAGUUCCGAAGUUUGUUUUGAUGUGUUCCUGUAGACGGUAGGGCUGCAUAUAACCUGUUAUGAACAAUACUUUCCCUGGUUUUUUACAUGCUUGCCUUCAUUACUACUCCCUCCGUAAAGAAAUAUAAGAGCGUUUAGAUUCCUAAAGUAGUGAUCUAAAUGCUCUUAUAUUUGUUUACAAAGGGAGUAUGUUCCUUCUGUAUCAAAAUGAUUAAUUUAUAAUACAAGGGGUACUUUCAAAUGUCAACUUUUAUUGGACAUUUUAUUCCUCGAGGAUAUGCAGGUGCAUUAACAAACUGCAAUCUUCCAAUUAGUUAUUGUCAUAUAGUACAAAUGUGUUUCAUUCAAAGUAAUAGCCUGAAAUAGGCCAAUUGCUCAAUACUGUGAUGUACCCAACGAUGUUUAUAUAACAGUAUAUAUGGAUGAUGUGGUGGUACUCAAUUAUUCCAUAGGUUAGGUUGAUUACUUAUUUCAUUUUAUAUUUAUAAAAUGAUUAAAAGCUUACCGAUCGGUCAACUGCUUAUGGAUUCAGUCUCAUCUUUUCAGGUAAGUAAAAUAAAAGCAGAAACCAAUUGGAGGAUGCAAGAACAGAGAAGUACAUGACAAUAGAAAUUGAACACCUUCCAGUGCAAGAAUUAUUGUUUCAAAUGCAGCCGUAUUGUUUUACAACACUCAAGAGUUCGAAAAUGUGGCAUUCAUUCUACCGUUUCGAAUUUCAUAUUAUGAUGAAAUGUUCCCAUAUAAUCACAUUAACACACUCCUGGCCCACUCUUAAUUGUUACGGCAGAUAUCAUCAUUAAAGUGAGUAGCAUACACUAGCCUGCACAUGUAGUGUAGUAAUUAAUACCUAUGACAAAAUUUUUGAACAGACAAUUAAACACUCAUAUAUAUUGUUUAGCAACAAUACCAUUUCCACUAGUGGGUCUCUGGUAACGGGAAUCAGGACACCGCCGGGACGGGCAUGAUGGAACCCGACGGCUCUGGCGACGCUCCGUGCGACCCGGCGGCUCCACCGCCGCCCCAGCCCCCGUCCCCUCCCUCGGACCCUGGCCAUGCGCUGGUGUCCCUCCCGCCCGCUCCGCAUCGACUCCCCCCACCGCCCCGUCGCACGUGGUCUAGGCGGACCUCGCCAAGGCCGACGACCUUGUCGUAGGGCGCCCCGUCAUUUGGCGCGACCGCGUUCCCCCCAAGGCCCCUGCCCGGCCGCCUCGGUCUGAUUCUGUCGGUGGCCUUACUCCCAGGUGUGGGAGUUCGGCCGCCCGCGGGUCUGCCCAGCGCCGGCGCCAACCCUCAGGCGUGUUUCGGUCGGCGGCAGGGCAAGGUGCUCCCUUGGGCUCGGGGUCUCGCCCUCGGGGGCGCCGCUCCGGCGGGUGGCGUGUCGUUGGCCGCGCCGACCGUGGCCUCGCGCGUUCUUCAUGGAGGGCCACUGCUCCGGCGCCGUCCUCCCCUGCUCCGUCCUGCGCACUGACGGCUUUCUCAGCGGAGCUCUCGUCGGUGGUUUUCCGGCGGUCCCCCUUCCGCCCUUUCAUCUCGGCUUUCAGCGCCGCCGCCCCCGCCUCCUGGUGCCCAGCGCGGCCCGUCCUGGCCUCGCCGCCCCCGCCCUACCCCAUCGGCGACCAUCGUGGCGGCGCUCGGGGAAACCCUUGCCCCUCCCCUGGUCUCCCGGGCUUCUCCUAUCGGGCCGCGCUCGUCUCGGGCCGUUCCGUGGGCCGCCUCCUUGGUGCCUCCCCGCGGGCCUCGGCUUCUGGGCCGCCACGUGAUGUGCGGGCCGUUGGCCCCUGUGUGGGCUGGUCCCCUGGACCGUCCUCACCCUCCGCGGCCCAGCCAUGCCCCUGGGUGGGCCUUGGCCCGAUCCGGCGCUCCAUCUCGCCACCGCUAGGGUUCCCCCGCCAACCAGUCCCCAACCCGACGCCUCCCACUCCCCCCGACGAAGUUCCACCCGCCGCCCCUAGCUCCCCCCUGCUCGUCGGCGCCACCGGUCCCCUUGCACCCUCCCCACCUCCCUCGCCGGCCAUGACCCUGGAGUAGGGCAACGGUGCGGGACGCCCCAAGCGCAGGGCACACAACCGCCGCGCCCCCCCUCGACCCUCUCCUGAUGGUCUCCGGCGGGAGGCUGACCUCAGGCAAGAGCUCGACUCCCGCCCGGCUCGGCGCUCCCCAGCCCGCGACGCUCGCCGCUCUCCCCCCACCCAGCCCGCCGGUCCCCUGCUCGGGACGACCGCCGCUCCCGGUCCCCGGCGCGCCGCUCGCCCCCUCGGGCUGCCUCGCGGGAUCGCGGCUGGUCACCGGCUGGAGGGGGGGGGCUCGGCAGUCCUCCCGGCGGCGGUCCCCCUCCCCGUCGCGCCAUCGGGACCGAUCCCCAUCUCCUCCCCGACAGCAGUCCCUGACCACCACCAUCACCGCCCCGGCCGCCCGCCGCUACCAGCCCCCUCACUCCCAAGCUGCAUUCCCGCCGUCCAAUGGGGGCAAUGGGGACCGGGGGCGCCAGGGCACCCAAAAGAAGAAGAAGGGUCCCCCUCGCCCUCGACCGCCUCCACCUCCGCUGGCGCGGUGGCUCCACCUCCGGGCUCCACCCCGCCUCUAAGGGUCCGCCGUGCUUCAAUUCCGGCCUGACCGGGCACUUCCAGGUGGCAUGCCACAACCCUCCGAGGUGCUACCUCUGCAAGGAUGCCGGGCACCCCGUGAUUCUGUGCCCGGACCGCCCGGUGACGGAGGAGAUCAUGAUGUACGACCACGGCAUCGAGGACAUGGGCUUCUUCCACAUCGAGGUCCCGGAGAUUCCCCCUCCCCCCUCGCUCCUGGCUCUCGUGACUGUCGUGGAUGCGGGCGUCGCCACCCUGGAGCUGAUCGAGGCCGAGCUCAACCACUUGUGCAGUUUCAAGUGGGACUGGCAGGUGACCUCCAUCGCUGCCAACGCCUUCAAGGUGAUCUUCCCCGACGCUCUGAGCAUGGGACUCUGUACCCACAACAACAACAUCACCUUGGACCUCAACGGGAUUGUGGUGAACAUCUCAGAGCCAAGGUGGGAUCCCAAGGCCGUGGCUGUUCUGGACACUGUGUGGCUCCUCAUCGCCGGCCUGCCUGAUGUGGCCCGGUCUGAGUGAGUCAUCCGUAGUAUGUCCAAGAUCCUGGGAAAGGUGGUGGUGGUCGAUGAGCUCUCUCUACGCAAGGAGGAGGAGGUCCGGGUCAAGGUGAAGUGCCUGGACUCCUCUAAGCUCCACGCCACGAUUCGGGUCUUCUUCAACGACGACAGCUUCGACCUCAAGAUCUGCCCCGAGCCUCCGAACCACAUCGGCCGCCCCCGAUUCUCUGAUGACAGCCACCUGGGGGCGGUCCAGCUCACGCCGACAACUCCCACCACUGGCGGUCCCGCCACUCCCGCCUCGACGACCCUGAGGAUGACGAGGACUUGUCAAAGCACUCCCGCUCCCCGUCCCGCGAGCCCGCCAACCCACCUUCGGGUCAUGGCUGUUCCGAGGCGGGACGUGUUGGAAAUAUGCCCUAGAGGCAAUAAUAAAUUGGUUAUUAUUAUAUUUCCUUGUUCAUGAUAAUCGUUUAUUAUCCAUGCUAGAAUUGUAUUGAUAGGAAACUCAAAUACAUGUGUGGAUACAUAGACAACACCAUGUCCCUAGUAAGCCUCUAGUUGACUAGCUCGUUGAUCAAUAGAUGGUUACGGUUUCCUAACCAUGGACAUUGGAUGUCGUUGAUAACGGGAUCACAUCAUUAGGAGAAUGAUGUGAUGGACAAGACCCAAUCCUAAGCCUAGCACAAGAUCAUAUAGUUCGUAUGCUAAAGCUUUUCUAAUGUGAAGUAUCAUUUCCUUAGACCAUGAGAUUGUGCAACUCCCGGAUACCGUAGGAGUGCUUUGGGUGUGCUAAACAUCACAACAUUACUAGGUGGAUAUAAAGGUACACUACAGGUAUCUCCGAAAGUGUCUGUUAGGUUGGCACGAAUUGAGACUGGGAUUUGUCACUCCGUGUAAACGGAGAGGUAUCUCUGGGCCCACUCGGUAGGACAUCAUCAUAAUGUGCACAAUGUGAUCAAGGAGUUGAUCACGGGAUGAUGUGUUACGUAACGAGUAAAGAGACUUGCCGGUAACGAGAUUGAACAAGGUAUCGGGAUACCGACGAUCGAAUCUCGGGCAAGUAUCGUACCGAUAGACAAAGGGAAUUGUAUACGGGAUUGAUUAAGUCCUUGACAUCGUGGUUCAGCCGAUGAGAUCAUCGUGGAGCAUGUGGGAGCCAGCAUUGGUAUCCAGAUCCCGCUGUUGGUUAUUGACCGGAGAGUUGUCUCGGCCAUGUCUGCAUGACUCCCAAACCUGUAGGGUCUACACACUUAAGGUUCGAUGACGCUAGGGUUAUAGGGAAAGUAUGUACGCGGUUACCGAAUGUUGUUCGGAGUCCCGGAUGAGAUCCCGGACGUCACGAGGAGUUCCAGAAUGGUCCGGAGGUAAAUAUUGAUAUAUAGGAAGUAUGGUUUUGGCCACCGGAAGUGUUCCGGGCAUCACCGGUAGUGUACCGGGACCACCGAAGGGGUCCCGGGGUCCACCAGGUGGGGCCACCAGCCCCGGAGGCCUACAUGGGCCAAUACUGGGAAGGGACCAGCCCCUAGGUGGGCUAGGGCGCCUCCCACCAAGGCCCAAGGCGCCUCCAAUAGGGGAAGGGGCAAACCCUAGGGCAGAUGGGCCCUAAGGCCCACCCUAGGUGCGCCUCCCCCUCUCCCCAUUGUGGCCGCCACCCUAGAUGGGAGCUAGGGCUGCCGCACCCCUUGGGGUGGGAACCCUAGGUGGGGGCGCAGCCCUCCCUCUCCCCCUAUAUAUAGUGGAGGCAAAGGGGCAGCCCAACACACGAUUUAAUCUCCCUGUUGGCGCAGCCCUACCCCUCUUCCUCCUCGUCUCUCGUAGUGCUUGGCGAAGCCCUGCUGGAGUCCCGCGCUCCUCCACCACCACCACGCCGUCGUGCUGCUGCUGGAUGGAGUCUUCCCCAACCUCUCCUUCUCCCCUUGCUGGAUCAAGGCGUAGGAGACGUCACCGGGCUGUACGUGUGUUGAACACGGAGGUGCCGUCCGUUCGGCACUAGGAUCAUCGGUGAUUUGGAUCAUGACGAGUACGACUCCAUCAACACGUUCACUUGAACGCUUCCGCUUAGCGAUCUACAAGGGUAUGUAGAUGCACUCUCCUUCCCCUCGUUGCUAGAUUACUCCAUAGAUUGAUCUUGGUGAUGCGUAGAAAAUUUUGAAUUUCUGCUACGUUGCCCAACAGUGGCAUCAUGAGCUAGGUCUAUGCGUAGUUACUAUGCACGAGUAGAACACAAAGUAGUUGUGGGCGUCGAUAUUGUCAAUUAUCUUGCCGGUACUAGUCUUAUCUUGAUUCGGUGACAUCGUGGGAUGAAGCGGCCCGGACCAACCUUACACGUACGCUUACGUGAGACCGGUUCCACCGACUGACAUGCACUAGUUGCAUAAGGUGGCUGGCGGGUGUCUGUCUCUCCCACUUUAGUCGGUUCGGAUUCGAUGAACAGGGUCCUUAUGAAGGGUAAAUAGAAAUUGGCAAUUCACGUUGUGGUUUUGGCGUAGGUAAGAAACGUUCUUGCUAGAAACCUAUAGCAGCCACGUAAAAAACUUGCAACAACAAUUAGAAGAUGUCUAACUUGUUUUUGCAGCAAGUGUUUUGUGAUGUGAUAUGGCCAAAGGAUGUGAUGAAUGAUAUAUGUGAUGUAUGAGAUGAUCAUGUUCUUGUAAUAGGAAUCAUGACUUGCAUGUCGAUGAGUAUGACAACCGGCAGGAGCCAUAGGAGUUGUCUUAAUUUAUUUAUGACCUGCGUGUCAAUAUAAACGUCAUGUAAUUACUUUACUUUAUUGCUAACCGUUAGUUGUAGUAGUAGAAGUAAUAGUUGGCGAGACAACUUCAUGAAGACACGAUGAUGGAGAUCAUGGUGUCAUGCCGGUGACAACGAUGAUCAUGGAGCCCCGAAGAUGGAGAUCAAAAGGAGCAAAAUGAUAUUGGCCAUAUCAUGUCACUUUUUGAUUGCAUGUGAUGUUUAUCAUGUUUUUGCAUCUUAUUUGCUUAGAACGAUGGUAGUAAAUAAGAUGAUCCCUCAUUAAAAUUUCAAGAAAGUGUUCCCCCUAACUGUGCACCGUUGCGAAGGUUCGUUGUUUCGAAGCACCACGUGAUGAUCGGGUGUGAUAGAUUCUAACGUUCGAAUACAACGGGUGUUGACGAGCCUAGCAUGUACAGACAUGGCCUCGGGACACAUGCGAAACACUUAGGUUGACUUGACGAGCCUAGCAUGUACAGACAUGGCCUCGGAACACGGAGGACCGAAAGGUCGAGCAUGAGUCGUAUGGUAGAUACGAUCAACAUGAAGAUGUUCACCGAUGAUGACUAGUCCGUCUCACUUGAUGAUCGGACACGGCCUAGUUGACUCGGAUCAUGUAAUCACUUAGAUGACUAGAGGGAUGUCUAUCUGAGUGGGAGUUCAUAAGAUGAACUUAAUUAUCCUGAACAUAGUCAAAAGGUCUUUGGAAAUUAUGUCGUGGCUCGCGCUUUAGUUCUACUGUUUAGAUAUGUUCCUAGAGAAAAUUUAGUUGAAAGUUGAUAAUAGCAAUUAUGCGGACUAGGUCCGUAAACUGAGGAUUGUCCUCAUUGCUUCAUAGAAGGCUUAUGUCCUUAAUGCACCACUCAGUGUGCUGAACCUCGAACGUCGUCUGUGGAUGUUGCGAACAUCUGACAUACACAUUUUGAUAACUACGUGAUAGUUCAGUUAAACGGUUUAGAGUUGAGGCACCGAAGACGUUUUGAAACGUCGCGAAACAUAUGAGAUGUUUCGAGGGCUGAAAUUGGGAUUUCAGGCUCGUGCCCAUGUCAAGAGGUAUAAGACCUCCGACGAUUUUCUUAGCCUGCAAACUAAGGGAGAAAAGCUCAAUUGUUGAGCUUGUGCUCAGAUUGUCUGAGUACAACAAUCAUUUGAAUCAAGUGGGAGUUGAUCUUCCAGAUGAGAUAGUGAUGUUUCUCCGAAGUCAUUACCACCAAGCUGCUAGAGCUUCAUGAUGAACUAUGAUAUAUCAGGGACAUAUAUGAUGAUCCUUGAGAUAUUCGCGAUGUUUGACACCACAAAAGUAGAAAUCAAGAAGGAGCAUCAAUUGUUGAUGGUUGGUGAAACCACUAGUUUCAAGAAGGGCAAGGGCAAGAAGGGAUACUUCAUGAAACAGCAAAUCAGCUGAUGCUCUAGUGAAGAAACCCAAGGUUGAACCCAAACCCGAGACUAAGUGCUUCUGUAAUAAGGGGAACAGCCACUGGAGCAGAAUUACCCUAGAUACUUGGUAGAUGAGAAGGCUGGCAAGGUCGAUAGAAGUAUAUUUGAUAUACAUUGUGUUAAUGUGUACUUUACUAGUACUCCUACUAGCACCAUGGUAUUAGAUACCGGUUCGGCUGCUAAGUGUUAGUAAACUCGAAAUAAGAGGCUGCGGAGUAAAGGGAGACUAGCUAAAGGUGAGCUGGCGAUAUGUGUUGGAAGUUUUUCCCAAGCUUGAUGUGAUCAAGCAUCGCACGCUCCCUCUACCAUCGAGAUUGGUGUUUGCGUUGAGCAUAGACAUGAUUGGAUUAUGUCUAUCGCAAUACGGUUAUUCAUUUAAGGAGAAUAAUGGUUAAUCUGUUUAUUUGAAUAAUACCUUCAAUGGUCUUGCACCUAAAAUGAAUGUUUUUUGAAUCUCGACCGUAGUGUGAUACACAUGUUCAUGCCAAAAGAUAUAAGAUAGUAAUGAUAGUACCACCUACUUGUGGCAUAGCCACGUAAGUCAUAUCGGUAUAAAACGCAUGAAGAAGCUCCAUGUUGAUGGAUCUUUGGGCUCACUCGUUUUGAAAAAUUUGAGACAUGCGAACCAUGUCUAUUGGUGUAUAUGCAUGAAGAAACUCCAUGCAAAUGGACCGUUUGGACUCACUUGAUUUUGGAUCACUUGAGACAUGCAAAUCAUACCACAUGGGCAAGAUGACUGAAAGCCUCGUUUUCAGUAAAAUGGAACUAGAAAGCAACUUGUUGGAAGUAAUACAUUUUGAUGUGUGCGGUCCAAUGAGUGCUGAGGCGUGUAGUGGAUAUCGUUAUGUUCUUACUUCAUAGAUGAUUUGAGUAGAUGUUGAGUACAUUUACUUGAUGAAUCACGAGUCUGAAUUAUUGAAAGGUUCAAGUAAUUUUAGGGUGAAGUUGAAAGAUCGUCGUGACAAGAGGAUAAAAUAUCUAUGAUAUGAUCAUAGAGAUGAAUAUCUGAAUUACGAGUUUGGCACAGAAUUAAGACAUUGUGGAAAUUGUUUCACAACUAAUACAGCCUGGAACACCAUAGUGUGAUGGUGUGUCCGAACAUCAUAACUACACCCUAUUGGAUAUGAUGCAUACCAUGAUGUCUCUUAUCGAAUUACCACGAUAUUUUAUGGGUUAGGCAUUAGAGACAACCACAUUCACUUUAAAUAGGGCACCACGUAAUUCCGAUGAGAUGACACCGUAUGAACUAUGGUUUAGAGAAACCUAAGCUUUCAUUUCUUAAAAGUUUGGGGUUGCGACGCUUGUGUGAAAAAGUUUUAGGCUGAUAAGCUCGAACCCAAAGCGGAUAAAUGCAUCUUCAUAGCACACCCAAAACAGUUGGGUAUACCUCCUGUCUCAGAUCCGAAAGCAAUAAGGGAUUGUUUCUAGAAUCGGGUCCUUUCUCGAGGAAAAGUUUCUCUCGAAAGAAUUGAGUGGGAGGAUGGUGGAGACUUGAUGAGGUUAUUGAACCAUCUCUUCAACUAGUGUGUGGCUGGGCACAUGGAGUUGUUCCUGUGGCACCUACACCAAUUGAAGUGGAAGCUUAUGAUAGUGAUCAUGAAACUUCAGAUCAAGUCACUACCAAACCUCGUGGGAUGACAAGGAUGCGUACUACUUCAGAGUGGUACGUAAUCCUAUCUUGGAAGUCAUGUUGCUAGACAACAAUGAACCUACGAGCUAUGGAGAAGCGAUGGUGGGCCUGGAUUCCAAAAUGGCUCGAGGCCAUAUAAUCCGAGAGAGGAUCCAUAUAUGAAAACAAAGUGUAGACUUUGGAAGAACUACUUGAUGGUCGUAAGGCUGUUAGGUACAUAUGGAUUUUAAAAGGAAGACGGACAAUGAUGGUAAGUAUCACCAUUAAGAAAGCUCGACUUGUCGUUAAGAUGUUUUCCGACAAGUUCAAGGAGUUGACUACGAUGAGACUUUCUCACUCGUAGCGAUGCUAAGAGUCUGUUGGAAUUAUAUUAGCGAUUACUGCAUUAUUUAUGAAAUCUUGCAGAUAGGAUGUCAAAACAUUGUUUCCUCGACGAUUUUCUUGAGGAAAGGUUGUAUGUGAUACAACCGGAAGGUUUUGUCAAUCCUGAAAGAUGCUAAUAAGUAUGCAAAGCUCCAGCAAUCCUUCUAAGGACUGGAGUAAGCAUCUCGGAGUUGGAAUGUAUGCUUUGAUGAGAUGAUCAAAGAUAUUGGGUGUAUACAAAGUUUAUGAGAAACUUGUAUUUCCAAAGAAGUGAGUGGGAGCACUAUAGAAUUUCUGAUGAAUAUAUGUUGUUGACAUAUUGUUGAUCAGAAAUGACGUAGAAUUUCUGGAAAGCAUAUAGGGUUAUUUGGAAAGUGUUUUUCAAUGGAAAGCCUAGAUUAAGCUGCUUGAACAUUGAGCAUCAAGAUCUAUAAGGAUAGAUCAAAACGCUUAAUGGUACUUUCAAAUGAGCACAUACCUUGACAUGAUCUUGAAGGUGUUCAAGAUGGAUCAGUCAAAGAAGGAGUUCUUGCCUGAGUUGUAAGGUAUGAAGUUAAGACUUAAAGCUCGACCACGGCAGAAGAAAGAGGAAGGACGAAGGUCGUCCCCUAUGCUUUUGUCAUAGGCUCUAUACGGUAUGCCAUGUUGAGUACCGCACCUGAUGUGUGCCUUGCCACAUAUCUGGCAAGAGGGUACAAAGGUAAUCUAGGAGUAGAUCACCAGAUAGCGGUCUAAAUUAUCCUUAGAGGAAUAAGGAUAUGUUUCUCGGUUAUGGAGGUGAUAAAGAGUUCGACGUAAAGAGUUACGUCGAUGCAAGCUUAACACCUAUCCGGAUAGCUCUGAGUAGAGAUACCGGAUACGUAUAAUGGAGCAACAAUUUAGAAUAGCUCCAAGUAGAACAGUUAUUUGAAAUGGCUCCAAAUGUAGCGUAGUAGUUGCAUCUACAAGAUGACAUAGAAAUUUGCGAAGUACAUACGGAUCUGAAUGUUGCAGACCCGUUGACUGAAACCUCUCUCACAAGCAUAACAUGAUCAAACCCAGAACUCUUUGGGUGUUAGUCACAUGGGGAUGUGACCUUGAGUGUUAAUCACAUAUCGAUGUGAACUGGAUUAUUGACUCUAGUGCAAGUGGGAGACUGUUGGAAAUAUGCCCUACAGGCAAUAAUAAAUUGGUUAUUAUUAUAUUUCCUUGUUCAUGAUAAUCGUUUAUUAUCCAUGCUAGAAUUGUAUUGAUAAGAAACUCAGAUACAUGUGUGGAUACAUAGACAACACCAUGUCCCUAGUAAGCCUCUAGUUGACUAGCUCGUUGAUCAAUAGAUGGUUACGGUUUCCUGACCAUGGACAUUGGAUGUCGUUGAUAACGGGAUCACAUCAUUAGGAGAAUGAUGUGAUGGAGAAGACCCAAUCCUAAGCCUAGCACAAGAUCAUAUAGUUCGUCUGCUAAAGCUUUUCUAAUGUCAAGUAUCAUUUCCUUAGACCAUGAGAUUGUGCAACUCCCGGAUACCGUAGGAGUGCUUUGGGUGUGCCAAACGUCACAACGUAACUGGGUGGCUAUAAAGGUACACUACUGGUAUCUCCGAAAGUGUUUGCUGGGUUGGCACGAAUCGAGACUGGGAUUUGUCACUCCGUGUAAACGGAGAGGUAUCUCUGGGCCCACUCGGUAGGACAUCAUCAUAAUGUGCACAAUGUGAUCAAGGAGUUGAUCACGGGAUGAUGUGUUACGGAACGAGUAAAGAGACUUGCCGGUAACGAGAUUGAACAAGGUAUCGGGAUACCGACGAUCGAAUCUCGGGCAAGUAUCAUACCGAUAGACAAAGGGAAUUGUAUACGGGAUUGAUUAAGUCCUUGACAUCGUGGUUCAUCCGAUGAGAUCAUCGUGGAGCAUGUGGGAGCCAGCAUGGGUAUCCAGAUCCCGUUGUUGGUUAUUGACCGAGAGUUGUCUCGGCCAUGUCUGCAUGACUCCCGAACCCGUAGGGUCUACACACUUAAGGUUCGAUGACGCUAGGGUUAUAGGGAAAGUAUGUACGCGGUUACCGAAUGUUGUUCGGAGUCCCGGAUGAGAUCCCGGACGUCACGAGGAGUUCCAGAAUGGUCCGGAGGUAAAGAUUGAUAUAUAGGAAGUAUGGUUUUGGCCACCGGAAGUGUUCCGGGCAUCACCGGUAGUGUACCGGGACCACCGAAGGGGUCCGGGGGUCCACCAGGUGGGGCCACCAGCCCCGGAGGACUACAUGGGCCAAUAGUGGGAAGGGACCAGCCCCUAGGUGGGCUAGGGCGCCUCCCACUAAGGCCCAAGGCGCCUCCAAUAGGGGAAGGGGCAAACCCUAGGGCAUAUGGGCCCUAAGGCCCACCCUAGGUGUGCCUCCCCCUCUCCCCCUUGUGGCCACCACCCUAGAUGGGCUCUAGGGCUGCCGCACCCCUUGGGGGUGGGAAUCCUACGUGGGGGCGCAGCCCUCCCUCUCCCCCUAUAUAUAGUGGAGGCAAAGGGGCAGCCCAACACACGAUUUAAUCUUCCUGUUGGCACAGCCCUACCCCUCUUCCUCCUCGUCUCUCGUAGUGCUUGGCGAAGCCCUGCUGGAGUCCCGCGCUCCUCCACCACCACCAUGCCGUCGUGCUGCUGCUGGAUGGAGUCUUCCCCAACCUCUCCUUCUCCCCUUGCUGGAUCAAGGCGUAGGAGACGUCACCAGGCUGUACGUGUGUUGAACACGGAGGUGCCGUCCGUUCAGCACUAGGAUCAUCGGUGAUUUGGAUCACUACGAGUACGACUCCAUCAACCCGUUCACUUGAACGCUUCCGCUUAGAGAUCUACAAGGGUAUGUAGAUGCACUCUCCUUCCCCUCGUUGCUAGAUUACUCCAUAGAUUGAUCUUGGUGAUGCGUAGAAAAUUUUGAAUUUCUGCUACGUUCCCCAACAGGACGCACCUGAGUUUCCGCCACUGACCUCGCGGUGGCUCUCCGCCUGGCCACCCCGCCGGUCGCGCACUCUCCGCCUUCGUCGGAGUCAGCCAGUGACAUCUCCAGUGUGGGCCUGCUCGUCGUGCCGCCUUCGUCGCCGUGCUCUCCCUCCACCGACUCCGCCCUUCGCGCCUCGCCGUCGGGCCCGGACCCCCCGUCUCCCCUGGUUUGACCUCCACGGUCCCCACGGGUGGCGGCGGGUGCACUCCCAUCGGCGUGCCUUCUCCGACCCUCCCACUCACGGGGGACGCGGCCGGCGACAUCCUGGAGCUCGUCGCCCCACUCCCCUCGCCGGUGGACUCCGACGUCCGCCUCGCACCGCCUGCUUCCCCGACCGCGGCGGUGGCCGUUGUUGUGACCACUCCGGCCUCUGCUCACCCUCCUCCGACGGUGGCGUAUGCCAGGCGGCCCCGCUCCACCUCGCCGCCGGUGACGGCGUCCCGCCGCAGCACCCGCCUCGAUGCGACCCGGCCGGCGGACUCCUCGGCUCCGUCCAUCUCCGAGCGUGCGGAGCUUCGGGCGGCGGUCCGGAACCUCGAGUCAGGUGUGGAUCCCUCCCUUCCCAGUUCUUCCAGUUGUUCCUUUUCUGUGCUUGAGGCCGUUCCUCUUGGCCACUUCGCCAAGGUGGCCACUGACUCGAUCAUCAUCUUUAGGGGGAGGUUGGUCCCCCCUUAAAUCAGAUCGCGACCAUUAGGUCUCGUGAGAUCUUAGAUGGCAAGCUUGCUAAGACUCGGGCGCGCUUGCUUCGGCCUCCCAAGGAAUCGUCCGCUACCCCCGCGGUUCGCGUUCCUCCGGUGGCUGAUGGGGUGAUCCAUGGACGCACCCGCUCUCGCGCUGCUGCUCUCCACAUGCAAAGCGCCUCCCGUGUCCUAGGUUCAAGGAGCCCCCCGAUGGGGGCUUAGAUGCGGGCCCUUUUCUGGAACAUCCGCGGCUUCGGCCAUGAUGGCCGUCACCGCCAACUCAUCGAGUACAUGCGAGACGAACACAUUGACAUCAUUGCCAUCCAGGAAACCAUGCGCACCGUGUUCUCCCUCCACGAGCUCUAAUGUCUUAGUUCCCACCUCUUCGCCUGGCAUUGGCUCCCUUCUAGUGGGACCACAGGCCAUUCUGGCGGCAUCCUUUUAGGGGUAAAGGAUGCCACCUUUGAGGUGGGUGGCAUGGACCGGGGUGAAUUCUUCCUUAGUAUGGAGAUCUUCGAGCGUGCUCUUAACUUCAAAUGGGAGGUCGUGAUUGUGUAUGGACCGGCGGACCACCGGCGCUCCCUGGCCUUCCUGACGGAGCUACAUCUGAAGAUCUCCAACUCCCUCCUCCCAGUUGUAGUGGGCGGAGACUUUAACCUCAUCCGAUCCCUAGAUGAGAAGAAUAAUGACCGGAUUAACCUCCCCCGGAUGCAGUUAUUCAAUGACUGGAUCGCAGAGCUGGGUCUCUAUGAGCUAGAUCGGACGGGUGCCAGGUUCACUUGGACAAACCGUCAGGUUGACCCGACGCAAUCCGUCUUGGAUCACGUCCUAGUUUCCCCGGAGUGGGAAUUAUGUUGCCCCCUGGCCUCGCUUCGUGCGAUUACCCGGAUCGGGUCUGACCAUGUCCCUCUCCUCCUCUCCACCGCUGACGAGCGCCCCCCACCCCGCCACGUUUCCGGUUCGAGCUCUUCUGGCUUAAUCAGGUCGGCUUGCGGGAGGCUGCCGUCGCUCGCUGGAUCUCCGCUCGCUCUUCCCCUCAUCGCGCCAUGUCCACAGUCGACUCGUGGCACUUCUGUGCCAAACUCGCCCACCAAUUCAUGAAGGGUUGGGGUGCUUACCAUGGCCGGGACCUUCGAGAGCGCAAAAAGGCCCUCCUGCUGGCUAUCCAAGCCCUGGAUGCCCGUGCCGAGACGUCCGGGAUCUCCCCGGAUGAGUGGAUGCUGCGAUAUGACCUUGAAGACCAGCUCUCAACCAUUUACACGGAUGAAGAGGCCUACUGGCGACUGCGCGGUACCCAAUGGUGGGUGCUUCGGGGUGAUGCCAACACCGCCUAUUUCCAGGCAGUGGCGAAUGGCCGGCGGCAUCGAAACUCCAUCCACUGCCUGUGGGAUGGAGACACGCCUCUCGUUCGCCUCUCGGCCAUCCAUGCCCAUGUAGACGGCUUCUAUAAAGCCCUAUUUACCCCACCCCUCGGGGUGGGGCUAGUCUCGCCCCCGACAUUUGGUCGGGUGAUCAAUUGGUCUCAGUUGAGGCCAAUGCGGCAUUAGUGGCCCCCUUCGCCAAGAACGAGGUCCUCACGGCUAUUAAAGGGAUGAACCCCUCCUCGGCCUCAGGACCGGAUGGCUUGCCUGUAACGUUCUUCAAAACGUUCUGGCCGACCAUCAAGCCGGAGGUCAUGGCCCUGUUUGAGGAAUUCUACUCGGGCGCCAUGGAUCUUGGGUGUCUCAACUAUGGUAUCGUGACCCUCAUCCCCAAGGUCCCGGGCGCCUCCGACAUCCGCCAAUUUCGUCCAAUCACAGUGAUUAAUGUGAUAUUCCGGAUCCUGGCCAAAGGGUACACCAAUAGGAUGACCCUGCUCACUGACGCGAUUACCCAUCCCAACCAAUCCGCCUUCAUACAAGGCCGAUUUAUUCUGGAUGGGGUGCUGGUAUUCCAUGAAGUCCUCCAUGAGGUUCGGAUGAAACGCCAUCAAGCGGUCUUUCUGAAGCUAGACUUCCUCAAAGCGUACGACAUGGUCCACUGGCCCUUCUUGUGGGAAGUGUUGCUUUGCAAGGGCUUUGAUGACCGUUGGGUGACUCGCGUCAUGCAGCUUGUCUCCUGUGGCCGGACCGCUAUGAACAUCAACGGUGACAUUAGGCCCUACUUCCCCACCCUCUGUGGGGUCCGUCAGGCUGACCCGUUCUCGACAUUCCUGUUCAACAUGGUGGUUGAUGCCCUGGCAUCCAUCCUUGAUAAGGCCAAGGAUGCUGGCCAUAUUCGUGGCAUCGUCCCCCACCUAGUCAGAGGGGGAGGGGUCUCCCUCCUUCAAUAUGCGGAUGAUACCAUAAUAAUGGUGAAGGGCUCCGUCCAAGACAUUGCUAACCUGAAGUUCCUCCUCCCGUGCUUCCAACAGAUGUCGGGCCUGACCAUAAACUUUGGUAAGAGCGAAGUGAUGGUUCUCGGGUUCCCCCCGGAGGAAGCACGGGCUAUUGCGGACCGGCUAAAUUGUCGGUUGGGUUCUUUCGCCAGGACCUACCUGGGGAUCCCCAUUAGUGAUUCACGCCUCACCAUGGCGGAUUUUUGCCCCACGGUGACCCGUGUGCAACACCGCAUUGAGCCCUGGAAAGGGCGCUGGUUGUCGAAGGUUGCUCGCGUGAUCCUUAUCAAGUCUUCCCUUGCCAGCCUUCUUUGGUUCCUCAUGAGCUUCUAUAGCCUCCGUGAGACCCUUCAUCAAGAGAUCGCCAAAUACCAAUAUAGAUUCUUCUGGGCUGGGGAGGGGGAUAAGCAGAAGUACCAUAUGGUAAGCUGGCCCGAUAUCUGCAAACCCAAGGACCAGGGUGGUCUUGGGAUCUUGUCCUCCCAACGCAUGAACAUUUCCCUCCUCACCCGUUGGCUCUGGCGCAUUGCCAAUGGCAAUGGAGGUCUUUGGCUCACCAUCAUCCACAACAAGUACCUUCGAGGACAGCCUCUUGCAUUCUGUUAGCGCUCGGGCGGCUCCCAGUUUUGGCAGGCCGUCGUCCAGCUGCUACCUAUGCUUUGCAUUGGCACGUCCAUCUCGGUUGGUACUGGGUCCUCGACCCUGUUCUGGUUUGAUCGGUGGAUUGGCGACACCCCCCUGGCCGCAUGAUUUCCGGAGCUCUUCGCCAUUGCAGUUGACCCUCGUGUCUCUGUCGAGACGACCCUUAUUGACUUAGGGCGCCUCGCUUUCCGCCGCCCCUUUGGCCCUCCUAAAGUUGCCUCUUGGGAUGCCCUCCUUUAGGACAUCCCCUCCUCCCUAUGGACGGUGCUGUCACCCCGGACGCCAUCUCUUGGCAUCUGGAACCUUUCGGCUACUUCUCCACCAAAUCCCUCUACGCGGCCAUCGCCCCCUCGAUGGCCCCCGAGCCCUUUAGUUUGAUUUGGGACAUCCGCCUGCCCCUGAAGAUCAGGAUCUUCCUGUGGCAAUGGAUCCGAGGCCACCUCUCGUCUGGUGUGGAGGUCCUUAAGAGUAAUGGACCUGGGGAUGGGAUGUGCCCCAUGUGCGACACGGUGGAGGAUGCUAACCACAUCUUCUUCUCGUGCUCCACGGCUCAGUUCCUUUGGUCCUGUUUCCGCGAGACGGUUAGGGGCCAGUGGUGCAACACCAACUUCCAUGACCUGCUUGCGUCACCUGUUCGCUAACAUCGGCACCUGCAAACUGCUUUUGGAAGAAUCUGUGAGUCACGGGGACUCAGCAAUCUCACACCCUUGCGAUCAAGACUAUUUAAGCUUAUAGGUAGGGUAAAAGGUAUGAGGUGGAGCUGCAGCAAGCGACUAGCAUUUAUGGUGGCUAACAUACGCAAAUGAGAGCGAGAAGAGAAGGCAAAAGCACGGUCGAACAACUAUGUUCAAGAAGUGAUCCUAGAACAACCUACGUCAAGCAUAACUCCAACACCGUGUUCACUUCCUGGACUCCGCCGGAAAGAGACCAUCACGGUUACACACGCGGUUGAUGUAUUUUAAUUAAGGUCAACUUCAGGUUUUCUACAACUGGACAUUAACAAAUUCCCAUCUGCCCAUAACCGCGGGCACGGCUUUCGAAAGUUCAAUCCCUGCAGGGUGUCCCAACUUAGCCCAUCACAAGCUCUCACGGUCAACGAAGGAUAUUCCUUCUCCCAAGACAAUCCGACAGGCUCAGCAUCCAGGUUACAAGACAUCCUCGACAAUGGUAAAACAAGUCCAGCAACACCACCCGAAUGUGCCGACAAAUCCUGAUAGGAGCUGCACAUAUCUCAUUCUCAGGUCACACUCAGAUAGGUCAAGCUACGAGUAAAACCAACCCUCGAGUUUCCCCGAGGUGGCCCCGCAGGCUGCCCGUUUCGGACCAACACUUAGAGAAGCACUAGCCCGGGGGGGUUAAAAUAAAGAUGACCCUUGGGUCCGCGAAACCUAAGGGAAAAAGGCUAGGUGGCGAAUGGUAAAACCAAUGUUGGGCAUUGCUGGAGGAGUUUUAUUCAAGGUGAACUGUCAAGGGGUUCCCAUUAUAACCCAACCGCGUGAGGAACGCAAAAUCUGGGAACAUAACACCGAUAUGAUAGAAACUAGGGCAACAAGAGUGGAACAAAACACCAGGCAUAAGGCCGAGCCUUCCACCCUUUACCAAGUAUAUAGAUGCAUUAAUUAAAUAAGAGGUAUUGUGAUAUCCCAACAAGUAAACAUGUUCCAACAAGGAACAACAUCUCACCUUGGUUGAAGAUAGUUUAAAUUUAAAUGUUCUAGAAAGUCCAAAUAUGCAUUUAAAUAAUAAGAUGUAAAUUAAUGCUUUUAUAAAUGUCCUAAUAAUUAAUAAAAGUGGGAUGUUACAUCUUGUGUGGUCUUUGUGGUUGUUGCUAGAAACCCAUGGUGCUUUGAUGCCAUGGAUCGAUUCAUCAUCCACCGGAAUAAUGAUGAUGGGACGAUGUAAUUUUAGUGAUCGAAUCAUCGUUGAAAGUAAAUGAUGAGAUGGUCAUGUCUGGAGAUGCAGUUCGCCAAAGUGAAAGAAAACUUACUUCGUAUGCCCUUGUUCAGGUAUUGAAUACUUGCAGUGCAACACUUAUUGCUUCUACAAAACUCAUAGUUAGGUCUUUUGCCAUCCAUAUCCAUUUCAAGUGUCACACUGAUCUAAAUGAUCUUAUAUUUCUUUACAGAGAGAGUACCUUUUAGGAAGUGAUCUAAAUGGUUGUAUAUUUCUUUACCGAGGGGGGGGGGGUACGUAGUUCUACAUUUUCAAUUCAUUUCCCUAUGAUUUAUACACAUUACUUUAUAUUUGGAGCUUAUAAAUUCUCAAUUUAAGAAAAUAAGUCUCAAAUGUGAAUCACUAAAAGAAAAUUAAUAGAACAAGCACAUAAACGACAAUUUUAAGAAAAUGUUUGUUUGCUUGCCCUAAUUCAGGCAGCAUUUAAAAUCUCAAAUGUUAAAUCAAAUGCGCAUAUCCAUUGACCCUGCAAGUUGAAGGCACAUUCUCUACUAGUCGAGAAGUCCAUAUCACCUCUUGAAAUCAUUUUAGGGUUCAAAUUACAAUCUCGGACUUUGAUUUGGUUCAUUUAACCAUGUGAACUCUAAGAACCGUUCACUUUACAACCCACUUCUCGCGGCUUUGUGCUAGUCUGCUAUGCCAAAUCACAUAAUUUCUCUCUCCUCUCAGCUGUAUGCCUAUGUCAUCUCUUUUUUGUCUCCUCGUAAUAACCAAAACUAAGAUAGGCUUUUCUCAAGUUGUAUGCUAAUUUUAUGAACAUUUUUUUUAACCUAAAUCAGGUACAUAAAACUUUGACAAAAUUAUAGUGAACGAGGAAUAGUUCAGUGACCAAAUGUUAUUCAGAUAAACUUAAUAUUUUAGUUUCAUGUUUAAAUGUUGGGUUUAAAAAAGCAAACUGCACACAAACAAACAAAUAACCAAUGACCGACCAUAAUUCAGUGAACAUCUGGUCAAAUAAAGAGAAAAAUAUUUAUGCAACAAGUGGAAACAUGGAACUGCAUGGUAGAUUAGCAGGGUAACUUGACUAAAUUAGGAGGUAAUAUAUCUACUAUUUUAAAAUUAAACCAAGUCAGAGUAACUUGACUAAAGGGAGAAAACCUGACCUUCAUUUCAGAGUAUUAUGCUGGACUUUCAGAGAAAACAACUUAGGUCUGAAAAAAGAGGGAGGUGCAGACUUCCAGAUGUCAUUUAGUAACUUUCAUUAGACUUCAAAAAACAUUUAUAUCUAAUCGCAAGAAAACAUGGUGAAAAAUCAUAGACCUCUAAUUUUAAAUGAACUAGUUUCAUAUACACCUAAGAAAACCACCGUAUCGUGUGGUCUUACAGAACUAUCAAAAGCAAGAAGAUUCUCUGGGCAUCAAAAUAUUGCGAAAGACUUCUGCAUUAACCCUUGUGUUAGUACUGUGAAACAUGGCUGGUAGCACUAAAUUGUCAAGCUCCUGUAGAGAUGGUUCAACACUACUUAGGAACAUUAGAAAUAGUAAAACUAAUCAAUUGAUUUUGCCUUAGAUGUAAUAAUACGCCUUUGAGAAAAAUGGUUGAACUACUUCUAGGGUUUUGUGUCUGCACACAAUUGCGACAUUAAAUGAUCCAUGUAGACUUGCUAAUAGGUAUGAAUAAUAUCCUAAGGUGAGAUUGACUUGCAAUCCUGCUUGGUACAGUACAUACAUACUGCAGCAAAUACAAAAAAUAUCUCUGUAAAUAACAACUAAAUCCUGACUUUGCCUGACAUGCACCAAGUUCCUAAGUUUGCUUUGAUGUGUUCCUGUAGACGGUAGGGCUGCAUAUAACCUGUUAUGAACAAUACUUUCCCCGGUUUUUUACAUGCUUGCCUUCAUUACUACUCCCUCCGUAAAGAAAUAUAAGAGCGUUUAGAUCCCUAAAGUAGUGAUCUAAAUGCUCUUAUAUUUGUUUACAAAGGGAGUAUGUUCCUUCUGUAUCAAAAUGAUUAAUUUACAAUACAAGGGGUACUUUCAAAUGUCAACUUUUAUUGGACAUUUUAUUCCUCGAGGAGAUGCAGGUGCAUUAACAAAUUGCAAUCUUCCAAUUAGUUAUUGUCAAAUAGUACAAAUGUGUUUCAUUCAAAGUAAUAGCCUGAUAUAGGCCAAUUGCUCAAUACUAUGAUGUACCCAACGAUGUUUAUAUAACAGUAUAUAUGGAUGAUGUGGUGGUACUCAAUUAUUCCAUAGGUUAGGUUGAUUACUUAUUUCAUUUUAUAUUUAUAAAAUGAUUAAAAGCUUACCGAUCGGUCAACUGCUUAUGGAUUCAGUCUCAACUUUUCAGGUAAGUAAAAUAAAAGCGAAAACCAAUUGGAGGAUGCAAGAACAGAGAAGUACAUGAAAAUAGAAAUUGAACACCUUCCAGUGCAAGAAUUAUUGUUUCAAAUGCAGCAGUAUUGUUUUACAACACUCAAGAGUUCGAAAAUGUGGCAUUCAUUCUCCCGUUUCGAAUUUCAUAUUAUGAUGAAAUGUUCCCAUAUAAUCACAUUAACACACUCCUGGCCCACUCUUAAUUGUUACGGCAGAUAUCAUCAUUGAAGUGAGUAGCAUACACUAGCCUGCACAUGUAGUGUAGUAAUUAAUACCUAUGACAAAAUUUUCGAACAGACAAUUAAACACUCAUAUAUAUUGUUUAGCAACAAUACCAUUUGCGCUAGUGGGUCUCUGGUAAUGGGAAUCAGGACACCGCCGGGACGGGCAUGAUGGAACCCGACGGCUCUGGCGACGCUGCAUGCGACCCGGCGGCUCCGCCGCCGCCCCAGACCCCGUCCCCUCCCUCGGACCCUGGCCAUGCGCUAGUGUCCCUCCCGCCCGCUCCGCCGUCGACUCCCCCCACCGCCCCGUCGCGCGUGGUCUGGGCGGACCUCGCCAAGGCCGACGACCUUGUCGCGGGGCGCCCCGUCGUUUGGCGCGCCCGCGUUCCCCCCAAGGCCCCUGCCCGGCCGCCUCGGUCUGAUUCUGUCGGUGGCCUUACUCCCAGGUGUGGGAGUUCGGCCACCCGCGGGUCUGCCCGGUGCCGGCGCCAACCCUCAGGCGUGUUUCGGUCGGCGGCGGGGCAAGGUGCUCCCUUGGGCUCGGGGUCUCGCCCUCGGGGGCGCCGCUCCGGCGGGUGGCGUGUCAUUGGCCGCGCCGACCGCGGCCUCACGCGUUCUUCAUGGAGGGCCACUGCUCCGGUGCCGUCCUCCCCUGCUCCGGCCUACGCACUGACGGCGUUCUCGGCGGAGCUCUCGUCGGUGGUUUUCCGGCUGUCCCCCUUCCGCCCUUCCAUCUCAGCUUUCAGCGCCCCCCCCCCCCGCCUCCUGGUGCCCAGCGNNNNNNNNNNNNNNNNNNNNNNNNNNNNNNNNNNNNNNNNNNNNNNNNNNNNNNNNNNNNNNNNNNNNNNNNNNNNNNNNNNNNNNNNNNNNNNNNNNNNNNNNNNNNNNNNNNNNNNNNNNNNNNNNNNNNNNNNNNNNNNNNNNNNNNNNNNNNNNNNNNNNNNNNNNNNNNNNNNNNNNNNNNNNNNNNNNNNNNNNNNNNNNNNNNNNNNNNNNNNNNNNNNNNNNNNNNNNNNNNNNNNNNNNNNNNNNNNNNNNNNNNNNNNNNNNNNNNNNNNNNNNNNNNNNNNNNNNNNNNNNNNNNNNNNGGGGAAACCCUCGCCCCUCCCCUGGUCUCCCGGGCUUGUCCUACCGGGCCGCGCUCGUCUCGGGCCGUUCCGUGGGCCGCCUCCUUGGCGCCUCCCCGCGGGCCUCGGCUUCUGGGCCGCCGCGUGAUGUGCGGGCCGUUGGCCCCUGUGUGGGCCAGUCCCCUGGACCGUCCUCACCCUCCGCGGCCCAGCCAUGCCCCUGGGUGGGCCUUGGCCCGAUCCGGCACUCCAUCUCGCCACCGCUAGGGUUCCCCCGCCAACCAGUCCCUAACUCGACGCCUCCCGCUCCCCCCGACGAAGUUCCACCCAUCGCCCUUAGCUCCCCCCUGCUCAUCGGCGCCACCGGUCCCCUUGCACCCUCCCGACCUCCCUCGCCGGCCAUGACUCGGGAGUGGGGCGACGGUGCGGGACGCCCCAAGCGCAGGGCAGACGACCGCCGCGCCCCCCCUCGACCCUCUCCUGAUGGUCUCCGGCGGGAGGCUGACCUCAGGCAGGAGCUCGACUCCCGCCCGGCUCGGCACUCCCCAGCCCGCGACGCUCGCCGCUCUCCCCCCACCCAGCCCGCCAGUCCCCUGCUCGGGACGACCGCCGCUCUCGGUCCCCGGCGCGCUGCUCGCCCCCUCGGGCUGCCUCGCGGGAUCGCGGCUGGUCACCGGCUGGGGGGGGGGGCUCGGCAGUCCUCCCGGCAGCGGUCCCCCUCCCCGUCGCGCCAUCGGGACCGAUCCCCAUCUCCUCCCCGACAGCAGUCCCUGACCACCGCCAUCACCGCCCCGGCCGCCCGCCGCUACCAGCCCCCUCACACCCAAGCUGCAUUCCCGCCGUCCAAUGGGGGCAAUGGGAACCGGGGGCGCCAGGGCACCCAAAAGAAGAAGAAGGGUCCCCCUCGCCCCCUACCGCCUCCACCUCCGCUGGUGCGGUGGCUCCACCUCCGGGCUCCACCCCCGCCUUUGACGGUCCAUCGUGCUUCAAUUCCGGCCUGACCGGGCACUUCCAGGUGGCAUGCCCCAACCCUCCGAGGUGCUACCUCUGCAAGGACGCUGGGCACCCCGCGAUUCUCUGCCCGAACCGCCCGGUGACGGAGGAGAUCAUGAUGUACGACCACGGCAUCGAGGACAUGGGCUUCUUCCGCAUCGAGGUCCCGGAGAUUCCCCCUCCCCCCUCGCCCCUGGCUCUCGUGACUGUCGUGGGUGCGGGCGUCGCCACCCUGGAGCUGAUCGAGGCCAAGCUCAACCACUUGUUCAGGUGCAAGUGGGACUCGCAGGUGACCUCCACCGCUGCCAACGCCUUCAAGGUGAUCUUCCCCGACGCUCUGAGCAUGGGACUCUGUACCCACAACAACAACAUCACCUUGGCCCUCAACGCGAUUGUGGUGAACAUCUCAGAGCCAAGGUGGGAUCCCAAGGCCGUGGCUGUUCUGGACCCUGUGUGGCUCCUCAUCGCCGGCCUGCCUGAUGUGGCCCGGUCUGAGUGAGUCAUCCGCGGUAUGUCCAAGAUCCUGGGAAAGGUGGCGGUGGUCGAUGAGCUCUCACUACGCAAGGAGGAGGAGGUCCGGGUCAAGGUGAAGUGCCUGGACUCCUCCAAGCUCCACGCCACGAUUCGGGUCUUCUUCAACGACGACAGCUUCGACCUCAAGAUCUGCCCCGAGCCUCCAAACCACAUCGGCCGCCCCCGAUUCUCUGAUGGCAGCCACCUGGGGGCGGUCCAGCUCACGCCGACGGCUCCCACCACUGGCGGUCCCGCCACUCCCGCCUCGACGACCCUGAGGAUGAUGAGGACUUGUCGGAGCACUCCCGCUCCCCGUCCCGCGAGCCCGCCAACCCACCUUCAGGUCAUGGCGGUUCCGAGGCGGGACGUGUUGGAAAUAUGCCCUAGUAAAUUGGUUAUUAUUAUAUUUCCUUGUUCAUGAUAAUCGUUUAUUAUCCAUGCUAGAAUUGUAUUGAUAGGAAACUCAGAUACAUGUGUGGAUACAUAGACAACACCAUGUCCCUAGUAAGCCUCUAGUUGACUAGCUCGUUGAUCAAUAGAUAGUUACGGUUUCCUGACCAUGGACAUUGGAUGUCAUUGAUAACGGGAUCACAUCAUUAGGAGAAUGAUGUGAUGGACAAGACCCAAUCCUAAGCCUAGCAUAAGAUCAUAUAGUUCGUAUGCUAAAGCUUUUCUAAUGUCAAGUAUCAUUUCCUUAGACCAUGAGAUUGUGCAACUCCCGGAUACCGUAGGAGUGCUUUGGGUGUGCCAAACAUCACAACGUAACUGGGUGGCUAUAAAGGUACACUACAGGUAUCUCCGAAAGUGUCUGUUGGGUUGGCACGAAUCGAGACUGGGAUUUGUCACUCUGUGUAAACGGAGAGGUAUCUCUGGGCCCACUCGGUAGGACAUCAUAAUAAUGUGCACAAUGUGAUCAAGGAUUUGAUCACGGGAUGAUGUGUUACGGAACGAGUAAAGAGACUUGCCGGUAACGAGGUUGAACAAGGUAUCGGGAUAUCGGCGAUCGAAUCUCGGGCAAGCAUCGUACCGAUAGACAAAGGGAAUUGUAUACGGGAUUGAUUAAUUCCUUGACAUCGUGGUUCAUCCGAUGAGAUCAUCGUGGAGCAUGUGGGAGCCAGCAUGGGUAUCCAGAUCCCGUUGUUGGUUAUUGACCGGAGAGUUGUCUCGGCCAUGUCCGCAUGACUCCCGAACCCGUAGGGUCUACACACUUAAGGUUCGAUGACGCUAGGGUUAUAGGGAAAGUAUGUACGCGGUUACCGAAUGUUGUUCGGAGUCCCGGAUGAGAUCCCGGACGUCACGAGGAGUUCCAGAAUGGUCCGGAGGUAAAGAUUGAUAUAUAGGAAGUAUGGUUUUGGCCACCGGAAGUGUUCCGGGCAUCACCGGUAGUGUACCGGGACCACCGGAGGGGUCCGGGGGUCCACCAGGUGGGGCCACCAGCCCCGGAGGCCUACAUGGGCCAAUAGUGGGAAGGGACCAGCCCCUAGGUGGGCUAGGGCGCCUCCCACCAAGGCCCAAGGCGCCUCCAAUAGGGGAAGGGGCAAACCCUAGGCAGAUGGGCCCUAAGGCCCACCCUAGGUGCGCCUCCCCCUCUCCCCCUUGUGGCCGCCACCCUAGAUGGGAUCUAGGGCUGCCGCACCCCUUGGGGUGGGAACCCUAGGUGGGGGCGCAGCCCUCCCUCUCCCCCUAUAUAUAGUGGAGGCAAAGGGGCAGCCCAACACACGAUUUAAUCUCCCUGUUGGCGCAGCCCUACCCCUCUUCCUCCUCGUCUCUCGUAGUGCUUGGCGAAGCCCUGCUGGAGUCCCGCGCUCCUCCACCACCACCACGCCGUCGUGCUGCUGCUGGAUGGAGUCUUCCCCAACCUCUCCUUCUCCCCUUGCUGGACCAAGGCGUAGGAGACGUCACCAGGCUGUACGUGUGUUGAACACGGAGGUGCCGUCCGUUCAGCACUAGGAUCAUCGGUGAUUUGGAUCACUACGAGUACGACUCCAUCAACCCGUUCACUUGAACGCUUCCGCUUAGCGAUCUACAUGGGUAUGUAGAUGCACUCUCCUUCCUCUCGUUGCUAGAUUACUCCAUAGAUUGAUCUUGGUGAUGCGUAGAAAAUUUUGAAUUUCUGCUACGUUCCCCAACAGUGGCAUCAUGAGCUAGGUCUAUGCGUAGUUACUAUGCACGAGUAGAACACAAAGUAGUUGUGGGCGUCGAUAUUGUCAAUUAUCUUGCCGUUACUAUUCUUAUCUUGAUUCGGCGACAUCGUGGGAUGAAGCGGCCCGGACCAACCUUACACGUACGCUUACGUGAGACCGGUUCCACCGACUGACAUGCACUAGUUGCAUAAGGUGGCUGGCGGGUGUCUGUCUCUCCCACUUUAGUCGGUUCGGAUUCGAUGAACAGGGUCCUUAUGAAGGGUAAAUAGAAAUUGGCAAUUCACGUUGUGGUUUUGGCGUAGGUAAGAAACGUUCUUGCUAGAAACCUAUAGCAGCCACGUAAAAAACUUGCAACAACAAUUAGAAGACGUCUAACUUGUUUUUGCAGCAAGUGUUUUGUGAUGUGGUAUGGCCAAAGGAUGUGAUGAAUGAUAUAUGUGAUGUAUGAGAUGAUCAUGUUCUUGUAAUAGGAAUCAUGACUUGCAUGUCGAUGAGUAUGACAACCGGCAGGAGCCAUAGGAGUUGUCUUAAUUUAUUUAUGACCUGCGUGUCAAUAUAAAUCUCAUGUAAUUACUUUACUUUAUUGCUAACCGUUAGCUGUAGUAGUAGAAGUAAUAGUUGGCGAGACAACUUCAUGAAGACACGAUGAUGGAGAUCAUGAUGAUGGAGAUCAUGGUGUCAUGCCGGUGACAACGAUGAUCAUGGAGCCCCGAAGAUGGAGAUCAAAAGGAGCAAAAUGAUAUUGGCCAUAUCAUGUCACUUUUUGAUUGCAUGUGAUGUUUAUCAUGUUUUUGCAUCUUAUUUGCUUAGAACAACGGUAGUAAAUAAGAUGAUCCCUCAUUAAAAUUUCAAGAAAGUGUUCCCCCUAACUGUGCACCGCUAUGAAGGUUCAUUAUUUCGAAGCACCACGUGAUGAUCGGGUGUGAUAGAUUCUAACGUUCGAAUACAACGGGUGUUGACGAGCCUAGCAUGUACAGACAUGGCCUCGGGACACAUGCGAAACACUUAGGUUGACUUGACGAGCCUAGCAUGUACAGACAUGGCCUCGGAACACGGAGGACCGAAAGGUCGAGCAUGAGUCGUAUGGUAGAUACGAUCAACAUGAAGAUGUUCACCGAUGAUGACUAGUCCGUCUCACGUGAUGAUCGGAGACGGCCUAGUUGACUCGGAUCAUGUAAUCACUUAGAUGACUAGAGGGAUGUCUAUCUGAGUGGGAGUUCAUAAGAUGAACUUAAUUAUCCUGAACAUAGUCAAAAGGUCUUCGCAAAUUAUGUCGUGGCUCGCGCUUUAGUUCUACUGUUUAGAUAUGUUCCUAGAGAAAAUUUAGUUGAAAGUUGAUAAUAGCAAUUAUGCGGACUAGGUCCGUAAACUGAGGAUUGUCCUCAUUGCUUCAUAGAAGUCUUAUGUCCUUAAUGCACUGCUCAGUGUGCUGAACCUCGAACGUCGUCUGUGGAUGUUGCGAACAUCUGACAUACACAUUUUGAUAACUACGUGAUAGUUCAGUUAAACAGUUUAGAGUUGAGGCACCGAAGACGUUUUGAAACAUCGUGAAACAUAUGAGAUGUUUCGAGGGCUGAAAUUGGGAUUUCAGGCUCGUGCCCACGUCAAGAGGUAUAGGACCUCCGACGAUUUUCUUAGCCUGCAAACUAAGGGAGAAAAGCUCAAUUGUUGAGCUUGUGCUCAGAUUGUCUGAGUACAACAAUCAUUUGAAUCAAGUGGGAGUUGAUCUUCCAGAUGAGAUAGUGAUGUUUCUCCGAAGUCAUUACCACCAAGCUGCUAGAGCUUCAUGAUGAACUAUGAUAUAUCAGGGACAUAUAUGAUGAUCCUUGAGAUAUUCGCGAUGUUUGACACCACAAAAGUAGAAAUCAAGAAGGGGCAUCAAUUGUUGAUGGUUGGUGAAACCACUAGUUUCAAGAAGGGCAAGGGUAAGAAGGGAUACUUCAUGAAACGGCAAAUCAGCUGAUGCUCUAGUGAAGAAACCCAAGGUUGAACCCAAACCCGAGACUAAGUGCUUCUGUAAUAAGGGGAACAGCCACUGAAGCAGAAUUACCCUAGAUAUUUGGUAGAUGAGAAGGCUGGCAAGGUCGAUAGAAGUAUAUUGGAUAUACAUUGUGUUAAUGUGUACUUUACUAGUACUCCUAGUAGCACCAUGGUAUUAGAUACCGGUUUGGCUGCUAAGUGUUAGUAAACUCGAAAUAAAAGGUUGCGGAGUAAACAGAGACUAGCUAAAGGUGAGCUGGCGAUAUGUGUUGGAAGUUUUUCCCAAGCUUGAUGUGAUCAAGCAUCGCAUGCUCCCUCUUCCAUCGAGAUUGGUGUUUGCGUUGAGCAUAGACAUGAUUGGAUUAUGUCUAUCGCAAUACGGUUAUUAUUUUAAGGAGAAUAAUGGUUACUCUGUUUAUUUGAAUAAUACCUUCAAUGGUCUUCCACCUAAAAUGAAUGUUUUUUGAAUCUCGAUCGUAGUGUGAUACACAUGUUCAUGCCAAAAGAUAUAAGAUAGUAAUGAUAGUACCACCUACUUGUGGCACAGCCACGUAAGUCAUAUCGGUAUAAAACGCAUGAAGAAGCUCCAUGUUGAUGGAUCUUUGGGCUCACUCGUUUUGAAAAAUUUGAGACAUGCGAACCAUGUCUAUUGGUGUAUAUGCAUGAAGAAACUCCAUGCAAGUGGACCGUUUGGACUCACUUGAUUUUGAAUCACUUGAGACAUGCAAAUCAUACCACAUGGGCAAGAUGACUGAAAGCCUCGUUUUCAGUAAAAUGGAACUAGAAAGCAACUUGUUGGAAGUAAUACAUUUUGAUGUGUGCAGUCCAAUGAGUGCUGAGGCGUGUAGUGGAUAUCGUUAUGUUCUUACUUCACAGAUGAUUUGAGUAGAUGUUGAGUACGUUUACUUGAUGAAUCACGAGUCUGAAUUAUUGAAAUGUUCAAGUAAUUUCAGGGUGAAGUUGAAAGAUCGUCGUGACAAGAGGAUAAAAUAUCUAUGAUAUGAUCAUAGAGAUGAAUAUCUGAAUUACGAGUUUGGCACAGAAUUAAGACAUUGUGGAAAUUGUUUCACAACUAAUACAGCCUGGAACACCAUAGUGUGAUGGUGUGUCCGAACAUCAUAACUGCACCCUAUUGGAUAUGAUGCAUACCAUGAUGUCUCUUAUCGAAUUACCAUGAUAGUUUAUGGGUUAGGCGUUAGAGACAACCACAUUCACUUUAAAUAGGGCACCACGUAAUUCCGAUGAGAUGACACCGUAUGAACUAUGGUUUAGAGAAACCUAAGCUGUCAUUUCUUAAAAGUUUGGGGCUGCGACGCUUAUGUGAAAAAGUUUUAGGCUGAUAAGCUCGAACCCAAAGCGGAUAAAUGCAUCUUCAUAGGACACCCAAAACAGUUGGGUAUACCUCCUGUCUCAGAUCCGAAAGCAAUAAGGGAUUGUUUCUAGAAUCGGGUCCUUUCUCGAGGAAAAGUUUCUCUCGAAAGAAUUGAGUGGGAGGAUGGUGGAGACUUGAUGAGGUUAUUGAACCGUCUCUUCAACUAGUGUGUGGCAGGGCACAUGGAGUUGUUCCUGUGGCACCUACACCAAUUGAAGUGGAAGCUUAUGAUAGUGAUCAUGAAACUUCAGAUCAAGUCACUACCAAACCUCGUGGGAUGACAAGGAUGUGUACUACUUCAGAGUGGUACGUAAUCGUGUCUUGGAAGUCAUGUUGCUAGACAACAAUGAACCUACGAGCUAUGGAGAAGCGAUGGUGGGCCUGGAUUCCAAAAUGGCUCGAGGCCAUAUAAUCCGAGAGAGGAUCCAUAUAUGAAAACAAAGUGUAGACUUUGGAAGAACUACUUGAUGGUCGUAAGGCUGUUAGGUACAUAUGGAUUUUAAAAGGAAGACGGACAAUGAUGGUAAGUAUCACCAUUAAGAAAGCUCGACUUGUCGUUAAGAUGUUUUCCGACAAGUUCAAGGAGUUGACUACGAUGAGACUUUCUCACUCGUAGCGAUGCUAAGAGUCUGUUGGAAUUAUAUUAGCGAUUACUGCAUUAUUUAUGAAAUCUUGCAGAUAGGAUGUCAAAACAUUGUUUCCUCGACGAUUUUCUUGAGGAAAGGUUGUAUGUGAUACAACCGGAAGGUUUUGUCAAUCCUGAAAGAUGCUAAUAAGUAUGCAAAGCUCCAGCAAUCCUUCUAAGGACUGGAGUAAGCAUCUCGGAGUUGGAAUGUAUGCUUUGAUGAGAUGAUCAAAGAUUUUGGGUGUAUACAAAGUUUAUGAGAAACUUGUAUUUCCAAAGAAGUGAGUGGGAGCACUAUAGAAUUUCUGAUGAAUAUAUGUUGUUGACAUAUUGUUGAUCAGAAAUGACGUAGAAUUUCUGGAAAGAAUAUAGGGUUAUUUGGAAAGUGUUUUUCAAUGGAAAGCCUGGAUUAAGCUACUUGAACAUUGAGCAUCAAGAUCUAAAAGGAUAGAUCAAAACGCUCAAUGGUACUUUCAAAUGAGCACAUACCUUGACAUGAUCUUGAAGGUGUUCAAGAUGGAUCAGUCAAAGAAGGAGUUCUUGCCUGAGUUGUAAGGUAUGAAGUUAAGACUUAAAGCUCAACCACGGCAGAAGAAAGAGGAAGGACGAAGGUCGUCCCGUAUGCUUUUGUCAUAGGCUCUAUACGGUAUGCCAUGUUGAGUACCGCACCUGAUGUGUGCCUUGCCACAUAUCUGGCAAGAGGGUACAAAGGUAAUCUAGGAGUAGAUCACCAGAUAGCGGUCUAAAUUAUCCUUAGAGGAAUAAGAAUAUGUUUCUCGGUUAUGGAGGUGAUAAAGAGUUCGACGUAAAGAGUUACGUCGAUGCAAGCUUAACACCUAUCCGGAUAGCUCUGAGUAGAGAUACCAGAUACGUAUAAUGGAGCAACAAUUUAGAAUAGCUCCAAGUAGAACAGUUAUUUGAAAUGGCUCCAAAUGUAGCGUAGUAGUUGCAUCUACAAGAUGACAUAGAAAUUUGCGAAGUACAUACAGAUCUGAAUGUUGCAGACCCGUUGACUGAAACCUCUCUCACAAGCAUAACAUGAUCAAACCCAGAACUCUUUGGGUGUUAGUCACAUGGGGAUGUGACCUUGAGUGUUAAUCACAUAUCGAUGUGAACUGGAUUAUUGAUUCUAGUGUAAGUGGGAGACUGUUGGAAAUAUGCCCUACAUGCAAUAAUAAAUUGGUUAUUAUUAUAUUUCCUUGUUCAUGAUAAUCGUUUAUUAUCCAUGCUAGAAUUGUAUUGAUAAGAAACUCAGAUACAUGUGUGGAUACAUAGACAACACCAUGUCCCUAGUAAGCCUCUAGUUGACUAGCUCGUUGAUCAAUAGAUGGUUACGGUUUCCUGACCAUGGACAUUGGAUGUCGUUGAUAACGGGAUCACAUCAUUAGGAGAAUGAUGUGAUGGACAAGACCCAAUCCUAAGCCUAGCACAAGAUCAUAUAGUUCGUAUGCUAAAGCUUUUCUAAUGUCAAGUAUCAUUUCCUUAGACCAUGAGAUUGUGCAACUCCCGGAUACCGUAGGAGUGCUUUGGGUGUGCCAAACGUCACAGCGUAACUGGGUGGCUAUAAAGGUACACUACAGGUAUCUCCGAAAGUGUUUGUUCGGUUGGCACGAAUCGAGACUGGGAUUUGUCACUCCGUGUAAACGGAGAGGCAUCUCUGGGCCCACUCGGUAGCACAUCAUCAUAAUGUGCACAAUGGGAUGAAGGAGUUGAUCACGGGAUGAUGUGUUAUGGAACGAGUAAAGAGACUUGCCGGUAACGAGAUUGAACAAGGUAUCGGGAUACCGACGAUCGAAUCUCGGGCAAGUAUCGUACCGAUAGACAAAGGGAAUUGUAUACGGGAUUGAUUAAGUCCUUGACAUCGUGGUUCAUCCGAUGAGAUCAUCGUGGAUCAUGUGGGAGCCAGCAUGGGUAUCCAGAUCCCGUUUUUGGUUAUUGACCGGAGAGUUUUCUCGGCCAUGUCUGCAUGACUCCCGAACCCGUAGGGUCUACACACUUAAGGUUCGAUGACGCUAGGGUUAUAGGGAAAGUAUGUACGCGGUUACCGAAUGUUGUUCGGAGUCCCGGAUGAGAUCCCGGACGUCACGAGGAGUUCCAGAAUGGUCCGGAGGUAAAGAUUGAUAUAUAGGAAGUAUGGUUUUGGCCACCGGAAGUGUUCCGGGCAUCACCGGUAGUGUACCGGGACCACCGAAGGGGUCCGGGGGUCCACCAGGUGGGGCCACCAGCCCCGGAGGCCUACAUGGGCCAAUAGUGGGAAGGGACCAGCCCCUAGGUGGGCUAGGGCGCCUCCCACCAAGGCCCAAGGCGCCUCUAAUAGGGGAAGGGGGCAAACCCUAGGGCAUAUGGGCCCUAAGGCCCACCCUAGGUGUGCCUCCCCCUCUCCCCCUUGUGGCCGCCACCCUAGAUGGGAUCUAGGGCUGCCGCACCCCUUGGGGUGGGAACCCUAGGUGGGGGCGCAGCCCUCCCUCUCCCCCUAUAUAUAGUGGAGGCAAAGGGGCAGCCCAACACACGAUUUAAUCUUCCUGUUGGCACAGCCCAACCCCUCUUCCUCCUCGUCUCUCGUAGUGCUUGGCGAAGCCCUGCUGGAGUCCCGCGCUCCUCCACCACUACCACGCCGUCGUGCUACUGCUGGAUGGAGUCUUCCCCAACCUCUCCUUCUCCCCUUGCUGGAUCAAGGCGUAGGAGACGUCACCGGGCUGUACGUGUGUUGAACACGAAGGUGCCGUCCGUUCGGCACUAGGAUCAUCGGUGAUUUGGAUCACGACGAGUACGACUCCAUCAACCCGUUCACUUGAACGCUUCCGCUUAGCAAUCUACAAGGGUAUGUAGAUGCACUCUCCUUCCCCUCGUUGCUAGAUUACUCCAUAGAUUGAUCUUGGUGAUGCUUAGAAAAUUUUAAUUUCUGCUACGUUCCCCAACAGGACGCACCUGAGUUUCCGCCACUGACCUCGCGGUGGCUCUCCACCUGGCCACCCCGCCGGUCGCGCCCUCUCCGCCUCCGUCGGAGUCGGCUAGUGACAUCUCCAGUGUGGGCCUGCUCGUCGUGCCGCCUUCAUCGCCGUGCUCUCCCUCCGCCGACUCCGCCCUUCGCGCCUUGCCGUCGGGCCCGGACCCCCCGUCUCCCCUGGUUUGACCUCCCCGGUCCCCAUGGGUGGCGGCGGGUGCACUCCCAUCGGCGUGCCUUCUCCGACACUCCCACUCGCGGGGGACGCGGCCGGCGACAUCCUGGUGCUCGUCGCCCCACUCCCCUCGCUGGUGGACUCCGACGUCCGCCUCGCACCGCCUGCUUCCCCGACCGCGGCGGUGGCCGUUGUUUUGACCACUCCGGCCUCUGCUCACCCUCCUCCGACGGUGGCGUAUGCCAGGCGGCCCCGCUCCACCUCGCCGCAGGUGACGGCGUCCCGCCGCAGCGCCCGCCUCGAUGCGACCCGCCCAGCGGACUCCUCGGCUCCGUCCAUCUCCGAGCGUGCGGAGCUUAGGGCGGCGGUCCGGAACCUCGAGUCAGGUAUGGAUCCCGCCCUUCCCAGUUCUUCCAGUUGUUCCUUUUCCGCGCUUGAGGCCGUUCCUCUUGGCCACCUUGCCAAGGUGGCCACUGACUCGAUCAUCAUCUUCAGGGGGAGGUUGGUCCCCCCUUAAAUCAGAUCGCGACCAUUAGGUCUCGUGAGAUCUUAGAUGGCAAGCUGGCUGAGACUCGGGCGCGCUUGCUUCGGCCUCCCAAGGAAUCGUCCGCUACCCCCGCGGUUCGCGUUCCUCCGGUGGCCGAUGGGGUGAUCCGCUCUCGCGCUGCUGCUCUCCACAUGCAAAGCGCCUCCCGUGUCCUAGGUUCAAGCAGCCCCCCAAUGGGGGCUUAGAUGCGGGCCCUUUUCUGGAACAUCCGUGGCUUCGGCCAUGAUGGCCGUCACCUCCAACUCAUCGAGUACAUGCGAGACGAACACAUUGACAUCAUUUCCAUCCAAGAAACCAUGCACACCGUGUUCUCCCUCCACGAGCUCGAAUGUCUUAGUUCCCACCUCUUCGCCUGGCAUUGGCUCCCUUCUAGUGGGACCAUAGGCCAUUCUGGCGGCAUCCUUUUAGGGGUAAAGGAUGCCACCUUUGAGGUGGGUGGCAUGGACCAGGGUGAAUUCUUCCUUAGUAUGGAGAUCUUCGAGCGUGCUCUUAACUUCAAAUGGGAGGUCGUGAUUGUGUAUGGACCGGCGGACCACCGCGCUCCCCGGCCUUCCUGGCGGAGCUACAUCUGAAGAUCUCCAACUCCCUCCUCCCAGUUGUAGUGGGCGGAGACUUUAACCUCAUCCGAUCCCCAGAUGAGAAGAAUAAUGACCGGAUUAACCUCCCCCGGAUGCAGUUAUUCAAUGACUGGAUCGCGGAGCUGGGUCUCCGUGAGCUAGAUCGGACGGGUGCCAGGUUCACUUGGACAAACCGUCAGGUUGACCCGACGCAAUCCGUCUUGGAUCGCGUCCUAGUUUCCCCGGAGUGGGAAUUAUGUUGCCCCCUGGCCUCGCUUUGUGCGAUUACCCGGAUCGGGUCUGACCAUGUCCCUCUCCUCCUCUCCACCGCUGACGAGCGCCCCCCCCCCACCCCGCCACAUUUCUGGUUCGAGCUCUUCUGGCUUAAUCAGGUCGGCUUCCGGGAGGCUGUCGUCGCUCGCUGGAUCUCCGCUCGCUCUUCCCCUCAUCGCGCCAUGUCCGCAGUCGACUCGUGGCACUUCUGUGCCAAGCUCGCCCACCAAUUCAUGAAGGGUAGGGGUGCUAACCUUGGCCAGGACCUUCGAGAGCGCAAAAAGGCCCUCCUACUGGCUAUCCAAGCCCUGGAUGCCUGUGCCGACACGUCCGGGAUCUCCCCGGAUGAGUGGAUGCUGCGAUAUGACCUUGAAGACCAGCUCUCAACCAUUUACACGGAUGAAGAGGCCUACUGGCGACUGCGCGGUACCCAAUGGUGGGUGCUUCGGGGUGAUGCCAACACCGCCUAUUUCCAGGCAGUGGCGAACGGCCGGCAGCAUCGAAACUCCAUCCACUGCCUGUGGGAUGGAGACACGCCUCUUGUUUGCCCCUCGGCCAUCCAUGCCCAUGUAGACGGCUUCUAUAAAGCCCUAUUUACCCCACCCCUCGGGGUGGGGCUAGUCUCGCCCCCGACAUUUGGUCGGGUGAUCAAUUGGUCUCAGUUGAGGCCAAUGCGGCAUUAGUGGCCCCCUUCUCCAAGGAUGAGGUCCUCGCGGCUAUUAAAGGGAUGAACCCCUCCUCGGCCUCAGGACCGGAUGGCUUGCCUGUAACGUUCUUCAAAACGUUCUGGCCGACCAUCAAGCCGGAGGUCAUGGCCCUGUUUGAGGAAUUCUACUCGGGCGCCAUGGAUCUUGGGUGUCUCAACUAUGGUAUCGUGACCCUCAUACCCAAGGUCCCGGGCGCCUCCGACAUCCGCCAGUUUCGUCCAAUCACAGUGAUUAAUGUGAUAUUCCGGAUCCUGGCCAAAGGGUACACCAAUAGGAUGACCCUGCUCGCUGACGCGAUUACCCAUCCCAACCAAUCCGCCUUCAUACAAGGCCGAUUUAUUCUGGAUGGGGUGCUGGUAUUCCACGAAGUCCUCCAUGAGGUCCGGAUGAAACGCCAUCGGCUGGUCUUUCUGAAGCUAGACUUCCACAAAGAGUACAACAUGGUCCACUGGCCCUUCUUGCGGGAAGUGUUGCUUUGCAAGGGCUUUGAUGACCAUUGGGUGACUCGCGUCAUGCAGCUUGUCUCCUGUGGCCGGACCGCUGUGAACAUCAACGGUGACAUUAGGCCCUACUUCCCCACCCUCUGUGGGGUCCGUCAGGGUGACCCGUUCUCGACGUUCCUGUUCAACAUGGUGGUUGAUGCCCUGGCAUCCAUCCUUGAUAAGGCCAAGGAUGCUGGCCAUAUUUGUGGCAUCGUCCCCCACCUAGUCGAAGGGGGAGGGGUCUCCCUCCUUCAAUAUGCGGAUGAUACCAUAAUAAUGGUGGAGGGCUCCAUCCAAGACAUUGCUAACCUGAAGUUCCUCCUCCCGUGCUUCCAACAGAUGUCGGGCCUGACCAUCAACUUUGAUAAGAGCGAAGUGAUGGUUCUCGGGUUCCCCCCGGAGGAAGCACGGGCUAUUGCGGACCGGCUAAAUUGUCGGUUGGGUUCUUUCCCCACGACCUACCUGGGGAUCCUCAUUAGUGAUUCACGCCUCACCAUGGCGGAUUUUCGCCCCACGGUGACCCGUACGCAACACCGCAUUGAGCCCUGGAAAGGGCGCUGGUUGUCGAAGGUUGCUCACGUGAUCCUUAUCAAGUUUUCCCUUGCCAGCCUUCUUUGGUUCCUCAUGAGCUUCUAUAGCCUCCGUGAGACCCUUCAUCAAGAGAUCGCCAAAUACCAAUCCAGAUUCUUCUGGGCUGGGGAGGGGGAUAAGCAGAAGUACCAUAUGGUAAGCUGGCCCGGUAUCUGCAAACCCAAGGACCAGGGUGGUCUUGGGAUCUUGUCCUCCCGACGCAUGAACAUUGCCCUCCUGACCCGUUGGCUCUGGCGCAUUGCCAAUGGCGAUGGAGGUCUUUGGCUCACCAUCAUCCACAACAAGUACCUUCGAGGACAGCCUCUUGCAUUCUGUCAGCGCUCGAGCGGCUCCCAGUUUUGACAGGCCAUCGUCCAGCUGCUACCUGUGCUUUGCAUUGGCACAUCCAUCUCGGUUGGUACUGGGUCCUCGACCCUGUUCUGGUUUGAUCGGUGGAUUGGCGACACCCCCCUGGCUGCACGAUUUCCGGAGCUCUUCGCCAUUGCAGUUGACCCUCGUGUCUCUGUCGAGACGACCCUUAUUGACUUAGGGCGCCUCGCUUUCCGCCGCCCCUUUGGCCCUCCUAAAGUUGCCUCUUGGGAUGCCCUCCUUCAGGACAUCGCCCUCCUCCCUAUGGACGGUGUUGUCACCCCGGACGCCAUCUCUUGGCGUCUGAAACCUUCCGGCUACUUCUCCACCAAAUCCCUCUACGCGGCCAUCGCCCCCUCGAUGGCCCCCGAGCCCUUUAGUUUGAUUUGGGACGUCCGCCUGCCCCUGAAGAUCAAGAUCUUCCUGUGGCAAUGGAUCCGAGGCCGCCUCCCGUCUGGUGUGGAGGUCCUUAAGAGUAAUGGACCUGGGGAUGGGAUGUGCCCCAUGUGCGACAUGGUGGAGGAUGCUAACCACAUCUUCUUCUCGUGCUCCACGGCUCAGUUCCUUUGGUCCUGUUUCCGCGAGACGGUUGGGGGCCAGUGGUGCAACACCAACUUCCCUGACCUGCUUGCGGAAAUUCACGCCUCCCCCCUCGCUACCGCCAUAAUAGAUGGCUUUGCAUUAAGGUCCUUGCCUGGACACUUUGGACCGUUCACAAUAAGCUUGUCAUACAGAAGGUGCCUCUUCGACGUGCUACUGACGCCAUCUUUAAAAUGUGUGGAUACUUGCAGCUCUGGCGACCGCUUAGCCGCCCCCAGGAUUGGGACGUCAUCAACAACCUCCUCGCUGGCCUUCGAUCGAUGGCCUUCCGCUUGGCGCCUCCGCUCCCUCCGCCCCCCGGAGCCCGACUAGAUGCUCUGCCGCACCCUGCGUGUGCGUGCUAUUUUGUUUCUUUAGGGCUUGUUGAGCUGUGCCCUCAGCAUUAAACCUUUGACUACUUGACUGUACUAGACCUUUGUGUGUGUGUGUGAACCUUGUUGGAUGUUUGGCUUGGGCAGUUGCUUUAUAAUAUAAAGCGGGGCGAAAAUCUUUUUCAGUAAAGGAUAAGUAUCCAACAUCUUGACAAACGAAAAACAUUAGCAGAGUAAUACUGUCUUCACCGAAGCUUCAGAUAUAUUCAAAUAAACUAAUCCUUCAUCAAACAAGUAGCAAGAUAUGUAUGUGAUUUAACAUGCAUGCCAAUGUGAAAUGAAGACUAUAUCAUGUAGAGCCUAGUUGCCUUCUUCCACAGUUCCAGUAAAGCCAAAGGACAGGUUCUUUUGAGCUCAGCAUAUCCAUGGCUUGCUAUUAUAUCAUCCACUUUACCCAAAGAGGCAAUAAAUUCAAUGCAAGCAUCAGUCAACUUGUUGUAGUGAUGCUGAUCAGCCAAAACCAGUGUAGUCACCACGGUCUUCACAUCUAUGUUCUUGCAAAGGAUGCUUUCACAUAUGAUCUUCAGUCUUUCCAUGGCAUACCGAUCCGCGGCUACAAGCAAAUGUCCAAUAAUCUCUUUGUACUCAUCUUGAUAUUGGUAAAGAUCAUCCAUGGUGGGCAACGAAUCGGUGUAUAUAAAAUGGAGCAGGGCCUCGAAGACUAGAGGUUGCAUGUCGCCGAUGAUAACACAACCCAUAUCAUUUUCCCUCAAGGCACCGUACAACUCUUCCUUAAACACCGGCGACCGCAUCGCGAGCACUAUCUUGUGCGCAGGAAAAGCCUCCCCUUGAACCUCGAAGGUGACAUCGCUUCCCUCUUUCCGUUGCCACAACUUCCUGAGGUGAUCCGUGAUGUCGGAUGGCGGCAACGGCACCUCAGCAAACGAUUUGGGCGCUUCCGUGCAGAUAGUGAUGGCACACUCAAUUGUGAGGCGAUCGCUGUGAAGGUAAGGCGACACCUCGAGCUUGCUCUUCUUCAUGCACUCGGGAUGGCCGAAGCACGUUCGGUCGCCAGAGUCGAAUUCUGCGGCGACCGUCCUCAUCGUACGAGGCGGCGUUGAUCCUGUGAUGUCCACCAAACUGAGCUCGAAGGUUGCCCUCACCUUGGCCUUCUUGCUGACUAAAAAGAGAUAGACCGCCACAUAGCCUCCGGAAUGCCCAAGCACUCCUUCCUCAUAGAAACGAAUCUGCCAGUUGUAAGAGCCGACGGUGAAUACUUCCGAUGAUUGUACGUCGAGGCUAACUCGGCCGUACCCUGAGACCUCGAACACGAGCGAGCCCCGCCCUGCACGUCACGUGGACGCCGUGCAUCCCAUCGCCGCCUCCGUUGCCCGGUUGUCUUGUUCGUGGCCGGGGUGGUGGCCGGUGGCGGGGGAGAAGAGUUUAUUAGGGUUUCUUAUUAGGGUUUGCAUUUGUAUGGAGGGUUGGACCGGGAAGCGAAAGGAAAGAGGGUUGGGCCGGGAAGCGGAACGCGCUUCGCUAUACUCUCUAAAAUCGGGCCCAGGAAUCCAAGUCGAAUUCCUCCUUAGGACCGAAUCAAAUCGUGGGACGUCCUAUACGCCGCUCUCUGGACGUAGCUGGGAACCGAACCUCGUACAUCAUGAUACAGAUCAGGCGCGGCCACCGACUGACCUAUCACGCGUUACCGACAAGUUUGCAGCGUCCGUUUUUAAGAAUCAACCCCACACAGCAGAUCCGAAUUACUUUCAGCAUUUUAAAAGAUUAUUUUAAACUAGGUGUUUUCUGAAUGCAAACACUUUUCAAAUUGGGGAAUUGCUUAAAAAAUGAUUUCUUUUAGAAAAGCAGGAACAUUUUUCGAAAUCACAAACAAUUUUUCCCAAAACAGGAACAAUUUUUGAAAUUCCAAAAGAAAAUUGGGCAAAUGCAAACAUUCUUUAAACUCCUGAACAAAUUUGAAAACACGAACAUUUAUUUGAAAUUUGUGAACAUUUUUAAACGGGAACAUUUUUGGAAACUCCAAAAAAUGAAAACAUGAACAUUUUUUAAAAUACGGUACAAGUUCUGAGAAGUUGUGUAUUUUUUUAGCAGAAACAUUUGGAACAUUAAAAAAAA